AAAAUUCCAACACGUGGCUCUUAAUUCAGCGUCCUUUAUUUCAUAAUUUAAUAGAUGCAUUUAUUAUUUAGAAUUGUAUUUGCAAUUGGCUAAACGUGCAAGCGCGCAGAUAGCCAGAUAUCUUGAUCUGAUCCAUUUGAUUGGUUAGAUUCGCGUGAACUCAAAAUAACUAAACUUGCCUUUCUGAAUUGAGAGAGGUCAGGGUAAGCCAGCGUCAACAGUGAACAAAUUCAUUUUGUACAAUGUCAGCCUUACCGCAAGGGAAACGUAAAAGCAAAAUAAAAAUAAUAAUAAUAAUAAUAAUUCAAGAAGCACAAAUAAGCUAUAGCAAGAAUACAACAUACAAAGAUCAAGACUAACAAAGCCUAUAAUUCGGAAAACUAUUUGCACCAACAGAAAGAUUGAACAAGACAGACCAAUUCGCAAGACAAUCAGCUGCAUGCAUUGUUACACUUCCGAAAAGCAUGAGUAUACCAAAAAUUCAUCCCAUUUAUUAUCUUAUGACAAUUAAUCCAAAGAUUACGAACACACCAAGGAGGAUGCUUAAUUUAAUUUCCAGUAAUUGAGAGAGAGGUAUGUCAGAUAUACGAAUGAUUUUUAGUAUAAACUUGUAAUCAUUAGAUCAUUAAUUAUAUAACUACAUGAUAGUAAACUCAAUACAAUUUACAAAUCAAUUUAAAUGCCACAACUAAAUAUGAAGGUUCACUUCUUAAGAAAAGGGAUCAAAACGUGCGAUAGGGUGACAAACAAGAGGCAGGGCUAUUUCUCCCGAAAAUCCUGACCCUAGGUUUUCAUCACCCUCUUUCCCACGGUUGAUUUUCCAAUCAAAGCACUGAACCAAGGCUCCAAUUGUUGUGUGCAUCACUAGAUUAGCAUAUGUACUGCCCACACAUCCUCUACUUCCACCACCAAAGGGAAUGUAACAGAAAUCCUGACCCUUCAUUUCCAUCUCAUCAUGAUGUCCAGUAUCACUGUUCAAGAAUCUCUCUGGCAGGAACUCGUCAGGAUCAUUCCACGCAUCUGGGUCCCGCAUGAUUGCAUAUGCAUUAAUCAGUGCUCUAGUCUUCACCUUUACAUCAAAACCGUUGAUCUUGCAAUCUCUGAUGCAUUCUCUGUGAAUGAUGGAGCCUAGAGGGUGCAAUCUAAGUGUCUCCUUUAAAACUGCUUGCAAGAAAGGGAGCUCUGAAACGUCCGAUUCUUUGACCAGUCUGGUCAACCCCACAACUGAAUCAAUUUCAUCUCUAAGCUUCUUGAACAUCUGGGGGCGUUUCAUGAGUUCGGCAAUGGCCCACUGUAUGGAUGCUGAUAUGCCAUCAACGCUCGCCAAAAAUAGUUCCUAUUAAUCGAUAAGAAAUUAAGAAUCAUGGUAGAUGGCUUUUUUAGUCCUAAGUUUGAGCUAAUUCAAAUUAGUUAUGUAUUUUUAAAAGUUGCCUAAAAUAUGUCGUUGUAUAUCUAUUUUUACUAGAAUUUAAGUUAUUAUCCUCUUUUUUUUUUUUCCAUGGCAUUAGGUAUGGCAAAAAAAGUCUGGGCAGUCCAAGUCCAGGCCAGCCCGGUUCAUUUCCGCGGGGCUCGAUCUAAACCUUUCACAUGAGGGCCUGGGCAAUUGUUUAGGAAAAAAAACUAGGCAUGCUCAAACCCUCUAUUUUAAAAAAAAAAUUAUGAAUUCGAAUAAUAAAUUUAAAUUUAAAAAAUAAUCAAAAAUAAAACCUUAAAUCCUUAAUUUAUAUAUCAAUCAUGAAUAAAAAAAAUUAAAAUUAUAAUAUUAAACUCUCUUUUAAGUGUCAAUUAAUUAAAAAAUUACUUGAAUUAGAGAAUUCAGUACUAAAAAAAUUAAAUCUCUAAAAUUUUAUUUACUUUAUUUUUAUUUAUUAUUUUAUUUUAAAACAUUUAGUUUCUUUAAUUCAUUAUUGAUUAUAACAAUUUAAUUAUUAUUAACUCAUUUCAAGAUUACAACAAUUUUAAAAAAUUAAAAAAUAGGUAAAAGCUUAAGACCGGCUCAGGCCCAACCCUUGCAAUUCUACUCUAGUGGACUAGGGCCUGGGUUUGUAAAAGCCCGACCUUAACCUCUAAUUUUCCAACCUUAUAUGGCAUAUCAACUGUCUUUGAAUUUUCAAGUUAUACUAGAUGAAAAAUAUUAUUAUAUCUCUAAAAAAUUAGACUAAGAAGUAACAACAGAGAUUUUAAGUAAUUUUUUGAACAUGUAAAGAGUAAUUGGAUAAUUAACUAUGGGCCCUGAGAAUUACUUGCUAUAUCGGGCUAGUAUUUUUUUUCAAUUAUUAUUUAAAAGACAUGGUUGAUCAAACCUAAAUUAAUGUUUUAGUUUCUAUAUCUUCACGAUUCAGCUCAGAAUGUCCAGCUAAAUAAAAGUGCCUAAAAACUAUUAAGUGAUGAUAUAACCACAAAUUCUUGUAUAAACUUAUCUUGUACAAAUUAAUUUGGUAUUAAUUCAUUGGUUGAAUAAAAAUACAAAAUAAUAAAAAUAGAUUAUGUGGGUUAAGAGAUAUUUAAUUCAACCAAUUUUAUCAUGUCACAUCAAUUUGUACAAAAUAAGUUUGUACAAUAAUUUGUAGCUAUAUUAUUACUCAAAACUAUUUUUGCGGGAUUAAUAUCAGCUAGUUAAAUGCAAGACAUCAUAAUUAAAUGAAAAGAAAUUAAUUACUUACUAAGACAAAAUACUUGAUCUGAUUUCUUGUUAACGUCACUUCAGAAUUUUCGUCUCUACAUGUCUCCAGCAAAAUACCCAUCAAAUCUCCAUCAUCAUUUUCUUGAUCUUUAAUUCCAUUGUCGUCCUCAUAAUCCGUCAUCAUCUUCUCCAAAAGUUCAUCAUAACGCCAAAAUACGUCUCUUAGCUUCUUCCCAAUACCAUGGAGAUCCAUUUUUGUCCGAAAGCUAAACACUUUACUAACACCAAGUUUGGCCGCAAGCCCCAUCAUCUCCACAACCAGCUUCCUCAUCAUUUUAGCUUCAUUUUCAAUUUCAUUUUCCGAAAUUCUCUUCUUGUUCAUAAUCAUUCUGAAUAUCAAAUUGUUGGUCAUGUUGGUCACCUCCGUGCCUAAAUUACAAGGAGGCCCUCCUUCUUCAGAAUAAUUCUUCAUAAUCAAUGAUUUCAAGAGUCUAUCAAUUUCUUGCUCUCGGAUUUUGUCGAACCGAUCAAUCUGUUGGGGUCCAGCAAAAAGUUUAGUGACGCAGAGAUGUUUCAUGAAUCGCCAGUACGCACCAUAAGGGCCCGUCACAAAACCAGAACCAUCGUAAAUAUUGUACUUAGAGGGACAAGGUUCGUACCUAGAGGCAAAAUCAAGAUCAUGGGUUGUAAAGAUCUCUUUCGCGACGGUUGCAUUUGAAACAACAACAUAUGUCGAUGGUCCUAUACGUAUUUGCAUCAAAGGGCCGUAGCGGCGAGCUAGGGUCUGCAAGGACUCUGGUAACUUAGAGCUUAGUAAAUAACUGUGACCGAUUAUGGGUAGAGCUGGUGGGCUUGGCGGAAAGUUAUAGGAUUUUGUGAAUGUUUUGAUUAGCCAACGUGCAAUAAGUAAUGAGGUUAUCGAAAUGAAGAAGGGGAAGCAAUAGGCGUACAUUAGGUUAAGAUUUGAGGCCAUAGCUGGUUUCUUGCAGGAGACUUCAAAAUGAAUUAAUGAGUUUAUAUGGUUAAUUAACGAGCACACCUUAUCACAUAUAAUUAGAGGAGAUAAUGUUCUUGACUUACCGAUAGUGAUAUAUGUAUAAAUAAAUAAAAUUAUGACUGUAUCUAGAGAGUGUACAUUUUGGACUCUUGGGUGCUUUAAAAUCAUUACUUUCUUUUUCAUUCAAUUUUAUAUUAUUUGUGGAUGAAUAUUUUUAUGAUCAGUUGAAAGGAGAAUGUGACCACUUAUUUUUCAAUGGAUUAUGACGCAACCAGAAAAUUACGUUAAAGGAAUCCAGACAUUUGUGCAAUGGUACCACUAUUAAGCAUUUGCUAUAGCUGCUAUGACUAUUGCUUAUAAACAAUAUGCAUGCGAGGCAGGUAAUGACGUGCAUAUUAAUGCUAUUAAAUUUGAACUCAGUACUAUGCUCAUUAGUAAACCAUUAAGGAAAAAUAAUAAUAACGAUCUGUCAAUAAUAUAGUUUGUUCAUCAAGUCACUACCUGAACUUGUGAAUCAAUUAACCAUGGUUAGCUGGUUGCAAAACUAAUAUAUAUAAGCAGUGAGGUAGCUUCUCGGUGUACAAUAACUUAUUAUUAUAGCAACGGGCCACGGAUGGUUAAUUAUUUUUAAGCCAAAAUGCAUUCACGAACAUAAAAAAAGUUGGUGCAAUCGCACACCCUACAUCACAGGCUCUUCAAUGAAAGCUUGACGCUUGUGUAGUCGCACAUCAGAUCAGUUCCCAUAAUUUAAUCCCAGCUCAAUUAAUCUUUGGGUCACAAAAUUAUGUCCACAGAAAAUUUUACGAGAGUAGGUUUUUUGACACCCCUCAAAAUUCUUCAUAAAUCCGGUUUUCGACAAAUUAAUUGAUUUCUUAUUUUGUUUGGGAGUUCAAGUAAGCAUUUAAAUAAAUUAUCCUGUUAAAAAAUAUUUUACGUCCACCUUAUUUCAUAAUUUAUGUUUAUAUUUUUAAUUUUUGACUAAAAGUAUUUUUUAACAAAAAUUGUGAGAGUUUAGAGUGAUGGAGAUAGAAAUUAUAAUAAGAAAAUAAUUUAAGAUUUUGGGAUUUACAUGUUUAAUAAAAAAAAAACUGAAAAGAUAUAUUUUUUAGUGUGAAAUUUUAUAGGAAAAUAGUUAAUUUUAAUAUAUAGUUUGUAUUUGUAACUUAAAUUAGAGGUAUUUUAGGAAAUAAAAUUUAAUUAAAAAGGGUUGGGGAAGGGUGGAUUGGGGUGCUGGUGUUUGUUAAAACUUAAAAGAUCCAAUUUUGCAACGGGAUGGCAUUAGCAAGGGAAGGGGACAUGAUUGUCAACUCCAUGCAACAUCAAAAAUUAAAAAUAAAUUGAAAAAAGUGGAAAGCUUAAAUUGAUACUAUAAGUUCCUAACCCGAUUGGCUUUCGAAAACACAAAAAUAAGCCUAAAUCCCACAUGACAGGAAAUUUUGACAUCCCUUAGGUUACGCUUUCUUUUAUAACCAUUAAUUAAUCAUAAUUUAAAAAAAGGAAAAGGGGAAAAAAUAUUCAAUGAUAAAAUUUGUACUCAUGUUUGAAGGCUUAUCAAAAAGAAGAAAUAAACAAUGAAAAUUAAGUAAUUAAGGGUGCUACAAGAGAUACGAGGUUGGAAAUUUGCUCACUUAAAUGAGGAAAAGAUUGAAUUGUGUUUUUCAAAAAAGUGAAAUCAGUUAAUAAUAAUAAUUAUGAGGAAUAUAUGAAUUUGUAUAAAUUAUAAUUAAUAAAGAUUAAUCGCUAGCUAAGAUUUUUCUAAUUGUAGUUUUUUCUUUAAAAAAAAAAUUAUUGUUCAUAUAAUAUUAUACUAAUUUGCCGUUGGCCUAUCAAGGUGCGUUUGGAAUUGAGGUGUUGUAGCUUUUAAGCUACAGCUGCUAUGGAAAAAAAGUUGUGACUAUAAAAUAAAAAUUAAUAAUAUGUAGUAAAUAUAAAUUUUAAAUAAUAAUUUUGACAAAAUUAUUAAAAAUAUAAUAAAUUUUUCAUUAUACAAGUGAAAAAUUAUAUUAAUAUAGCUUAUAAGUUAUAGCAGCUAGUGUUUACCAAACACUUUAGUGUUGUAACUUAAAAACUACAGCUGCUCAACUUCAAUCCCAAACACACCCUUAUUCUAAUAUAAGAAAUAUGCACCACAAAACUUGAGAAGCACAAGUACGAGUCCUACGAAAAAAAAAAAAAAAAAAAAGCAUGUUAGGACUUCAAUGCUAAGAUUUUAGUUUCCCUCUUAUUGACCAGGAUAGAUUGGAGGAUUAAAAAAAAAAUCGUGUACUAAUUAAUUUGCCCAUACAAGUAACAUAUACGUGUUAAGCUUUUAUUAAUAAUAAUAAAAUUACUCUAAUCCCAAGCAUACUUAAAAAAGAGCACGACAGUUUACAUAACAGACCAUAACCACAACUACACAACUUUAAAAAGUUUACAGAAUUUACGAACUAAACAAGUAGCAAACGAUCAUUACAAAAAAAAAAAAAAAAAGGCUCCACUUAUUUGAAUAGUAUUCAUGCAAGCUAAUGGCUGGCUACAAAAGCUUCAAAUGUGGAACCGGAUAACACACAAGUGGUGUAGCCAUUUCUGCUGCAAAGCCUGACCCCGUGCUCAAAUCAACCUUCUCCCCAUCCUUGACUUUCCAAUCGAAGCACUGAACCAAUGCUCCCACGGCUGCAUGCAUCACUAGCAUUGCAAGUGAUGCACCGGGGCAUCCUCUGCGCCCGCUCCCAAAUGGAAGGUACCGAAAAUUCUGACCCUUAAAUUCCAUUUGAUGCUCGCCAAUUUUCUCACCAGAUCUCUCCAGGAACCUCUCAGGCAUGAACUCAUCAGGAUUAGCCCACAACUCAGGGUCUCUCAUUAUGGCAUACACGUUAACCAGCACCCUUGUUUUGGCCUUGACGAGGGAGCCAUUGACCAUGCAAUCUUCGGCACAUUCUCUGAUGAUCAGCGGUGCUGAAGGGUGAAGCCUUAGUGUUUCGCGGAUUACCGCUCGAAGGUAAGGCAGAUUUUGGACGUCCGAUUCUUUGACGAGCCUGUUGGGUCCAACAACUGCAUUGAUCUCUUCUCUAAGCUUAUUGAAUGCUUCUGGACGAUUCAGGAGCUCCCCCAUGGCCCAUUGCAUCGCUGCUGACGACGUGUCGGUGCCAGCCAUGAAUACAUCCUGGUUAAAGCAAAAUAGAUUCUUUAUGAAGGAAGGCGGCUAAUUAGAACAGAUUUUAAAUGUUAAACUUACGAGCAAGAAAGACUUGAUGUCCUUUUUUGUUAACUUGAGUUCUGCAUUUGAGUCCCUAUAUAUCUCCAACAAAAUAUCCAUCAAAUCCUUCCUUUGAUCAGCCUCAAAGCCCUUGAUGGCCUCCUCUUCAUGUUCCUUCAAGAUCCUCUCCACAAUCCGAUCAAACUUGUGCAAUGCAGACACAAGCUUCUUCCCGCUUCCAGAGAAGUCAAAUAUUUUGAAAGGUCCCAAAACAUCCCCUACACUUACUUUGCCUGCAAGCUCCAAGCAAGUCCUGACCAGACCCUCAAUCUCUUUGGCUUCGUUGUGGCUCCCCGAACACCGCGUGCUCAUAGCCAUCCUGCAAAUAGUAUUGUUUGUCAAAGUUGUUAGUUCACUGCUCAAAUGACAAGGCUUUCCUUCUCUGUAACACUUCAUCACCGACUCCACGAGCUUGAUCUUCUCUUGCUCGCGUACGUCGAUGAACAUAUCAAGCUGAGGAACUGCUAAGAGCCUUGUCAUGCAUAGCUUCUUCAUGAACCUCCAGUAGUCACCAUACUGAGCAAGAACAAAUCUUGAUCCUCGGUAUAUGAAGUACUCUGAGGAACCAAAUUCGGGUCUAGAGGAAAAGUUGAGCUCUUGGGUUUUGAAUAUCUCUUUGGCAACAUCAGCAUCGGAUACAACAACACAUGCUGAGGCACCAAGACGAAUCUGCAUGAGAGGGCCAUAGCGGCGAGCCAGGGUUUGGAAAGAUUUUGGCAGGACUUUGCCUACAAGGUGAAGGUGACCGAUUAACGGAAGCGCAGGAGGGCUAGGUGGGGGUGAAAUUGAACUGGGAGCUUGUUUCAGGUACGUCUUGAUGAAAGAGUGAAUUAAAAGAGCAGUGAUGAACCAAAUCAAGAACACGAGGUAGAAUAGCAAGUCACCAGCAGUAGUGAUAGCCAUGGCAUUAAGAAUUUUAGAUGACUUGUUGCCCUGAGCUUUUAGGUCUUUAAAGAGAGUGAACUUGUUGUAACAAGCUUAUAUAGAGAUUUUCUAGUGGCAAAAUGAAAAUAUUUUCAUACCCCAGUUUUUUAUUUGAUUAGUAGAACACGGCAAUCAAAAUUAAGUUAGAAACAGGACAAACACAAAGCGUGUAUAUAUAGCAUUAGUAUCCCCGCCUUGUAUUUUUCUAUCUAGCCUCUCCUUGUUUUUUAAAUCUAAUUGAAAAAAUAGGCUCUAUUUAUUGUAAAUAAGCUUAAAAGAACUGGCUUAAUUGUCAAUGACUCAAUAUUAAAAUUCAAAACCCAAUCUUAAUCACUCAUUUAACGAAAAGAAAUAUAAAAAAAAAAAAAAAUACAUCCUUGUCCAUAGAUAUAUCUUUGUCAUUGUCACGUGUUACAUGUGUUAACGAUAUAUGUAAAUGAAUGCAUCCAAAUUGCAAAAUCAUUUCAUAUUUUGAUAAUAGAAAAGGGGAAUCUUUCCCCCGGAUUUGACAAACAAGAAGUGGAGGAAACCUUGUACGGACUGAGAUGGGGCUAGAUUAUGAAGCAUAAUAAAUCAAUUAAUAUUUACAAAUGAGAUCAUCGAUUGAUUGCAAAGUCUUAGACUUUUGAUGAAAUUAUUGGCAUCAUACACGUAAUGUGAGAGGGAAUUAGGUGUGGUCCUCAACAUGACUAAGCACUGGGUAACUAUCAAUCUUAGGCUCCACUUUUGAUUGGAAGAAUUGGUUAAAUUCUUAAUUGAUUCACCCUCCGCUGAUGCAUUUGAGGAGACACAUCAAAGAUAAAUGGGUCCGAUUUAUUAACAAUUUCUAAAUUCCAUCCAUAUCAAAAUAUUGGCCUUUAUCACUUUGGAUUGGAAUCUCAACUGCAAUCAUUGAAAUCUUCAUAAACUGAAUUGUAACAAAAAUUUGAAAUCCCCAAUUGUAUUGACUGCCUUGAUCUUGAAUGUCAAGAAUCGAUUUGCUAAAUAGUUUAGCAAAUAAACUUGUCAAGAGGUACUCAUAUCAAACCUGAGCAUCAAUGGGCACCAUUAUCGACUGCCGAUACUAUCUUUUUCUUGAUCAUCCUCUGGCACAUCACUACUCUUUCUUUUCUCCUGCACAACAAGACCAGAAUAUGAUAUCAGCAUUGUGUGUGCAAAGGUGCACGAAAGAUAAACAUGUCACUGCAUCAAACUGUAGGGUUAAAAGUAGAGAUUGUAUAUAUAGUUCAAACUUCUAACAAGCAGAUUGUUCUAAACCCAAUUAGGAAAGCUUACCAUCUGUUUGCUCUCUCCUUGAUGUCUUGGGAAUCUUUGUUUUAUGUACAUUUCUACCACUGCUGUGACUAUAUUACAGUAAUCAUUGUAAAAUAAAUCUUUUCUACAAACACCAUACGCAUGCAUUUUCCAAAAAUGCCAAAGGGUUCUCUGCAAUGGACAAUGAUAUUCCAUUUUUUCCGGUGAAACAUUGAAGUUUCCUACAUGAAAGUUUUGCCCACGAAAGAAUUUCAGAUAGAAGGCUGCUAUUAAUUCUUUCCCAUCUAAAAUCUAAUUAUCAGGCAAAUACUACUUGCUCCAUAAGAAGUGGAACUCUGAUCAAGUAAAUAAGAUGUGAUGCUGGCUUGUACUCUUGUUUAUUUACAUCAGCUUUCAACAACCAAUUCAAAUCUUGACUCGUCAACACAUUUCUCUUCAGCAGGAAUUGAAGGUGCUCCAGUUACACGAACUGCAUGGAAUGAUUCGUGAAUCGUGACUUAAAAACUAUGGAUUUUCAGAACAUCAUUAUCAUACUACAGAAAACUUAACUAUGAAAGAGAGUUUUGGCUUCUCACACAACAAUGAAACCAGAAGGCUGAAAAGCCGCUGCGAUUAAAGCUGAGAUUGACUGAAACAAAGCCAAAGGAAUUGGAAAAAAGAAAUAUAAAAAAAUCUCAUCAAAGAUGAUUAAAAGAAAAUAUCACAAAAUUUCAUAACUUCUAACAUUUGGUAAGAAGUUCCAUUAUGCAAACAAAUGAUGAUGACAGCAAAUAUAAGUGCAAAGAGACAAGGGUAAGCGAAACAUACUUUUAAUGAGUUAAGACUCACCUGAGAAAUAUCGGAAUGCAUCUCUCCUGAUAGCCAAAAGGCUUAUCAGAAUGCAUCCUGAGAAUAUCAUAAAUUUAUCCAUCUAAUACGGUUAGAAACAAGUAACAAAACUAUCAAUCAGAGUAUCCAGGCAACCAUUAAAAAAUUGCAUGUAAGAGUAUUGCAGGGAUUGUAAUACACUUUGUUAAAACUUCAAAAAUGCAUUUUUUGAACAAAACUUCCUUUCAGACAAAUAUUGUUAUUCAUUAUUAUCCUUGCAACAACAUAGGCAAAGAUCUAACAGAAACUGAAAUACAGAUAUUAUAUACAUCAUUAAACGAUAGUACGUAAAUUCCUACUUCAACCUUCAAAGAAUGAAGGCAACAAAAGAAAUGACUACAGAUCGCCAAGCUUUCAGCAAGGCAGCAACAAUGUUAAACAAGCAACAAGCACAAUUGCCUACUCAUCUAUACAGUGAUCUUAGCUGGAUCUCAGCAAACAAAAGAAAAGUAUGGAAACUAUUUGCUAAAUCAAGAUAUGAGAUCAAAUAGAAUGUCAUCAGAGGAUGACCAAUGUCGGAAAUGGUACUGAUCAUCAGAGGAUGAUCAAUCUCACUGCACAGGGCCCCUAUCUCAUCUUCCAAUUUCUGGACGUUGCUGUCUCCUACAACAGAAUUUGUGAGAGAAUAACAGCAAUCAACGAAUUGACAUCAGAGUGCGAACUCUUUUUUCCCUCUCAGCCUUUUUAGCAGUUGGGAUUCUCUUCAAUUUAUUCAACUCCUCCAUUACAACCUUCUCAACUUUGUCAAUUGAGUUCAGAAGUUUCUUCUGGGGUGUGAGAGACUCCAACUCUGCACCAGCCUGAUUUGUGAUAUCAAGCAAAAUCUUAGGCACUUUACCAAUAGAGGGAGGACAAGCCUUCACACUUAAGGUUGGAGUUGGGGUCAUCAUAGAAAUAUUGUGCUCUGGCGGAGCACCUGACAGUGGCACAAAAGAAUCAUUGCCUCUCUGGCUGUGGGACAUUGGACUCUCCAUCUGUAGGCCUCCGACUUCUCCCAAAUGAGCUCUUCUUCUUUCUAUAGCCUAAAAAGCCAGAGUUAAAGUUAUCAUUAAUUGGGCUCAAGAAGAGCCUUGAAUAAGGACAGCAUAUACAGAACUGCCAAAGAAAUUUUACUUAUGACUCAAAUGAAGUCCACUGCUGUCUCUGACUUAAGAAUUGAUGACCCCCCAAACAGAAGCAACUCUUUGGGGUUGAAUUCCUGUUUUCAACAAUAAACUCCCAGCCUCCCCCUAAUUCACUGAACAUGAUAUUUCCCAAAGGAAAUGUUCUGUUAUCACCACAAGAACUGACCCCCAUCAACAUCAAAACAACGGUUUAAACAGACAUGAACUGAACCAAAAUUAUCUAUUUGGAAAACUUAAUGUCCAAUGAUAUUCUGGCCCAAGAAUUGACCACCAAAAAUGCAGGAGAAACUCAGUCACUGGGGUUGAGAAUUCUUGGCUUAAACAAUAUGUCUUCUUCAAUAAACUGCUAAAAUCAGGACCCAUCCACGCCCUAAUCACUGAAAGCAAAUGUGACACCCCAACUACAAGAUAUGGGCAAAAGGAAAUGCUAUGACAUCACCACAAGAUCCAACUUGUCCCAAUCAAUGCAACAUAUUCAACAUGCACAAACUGAAACAAAAAUACGUAUUUGCAAAACUGAAUCAAAAUAUCAACAUAAUGCAUCCAACAAAAUCUGAAGCAAGACUACAUUCCAUUUAUGCCCAAUAUAAAGAAUGGCGAUACAUCAGAACAUACAAAAAGAAACGCAACAUAUUCACUUGCUAAAUGCAAAGCCAUCAAUAAUCUGACAAAAGAAAAUAUAUACAACAGCAGUCCCUCUUCAUAUCUAUUAUGGGUUUCAUAUGAUAUCGAAGAACAGAAAUUAAUUGAGUGACAUGACCAAGUGGAAAUGAAAAGGAACAAAAUUAUCUCAAAUGAGAAGAUUGAUAUGGAUCCUAAAUUCGUUAAAAAUAAACCUAAUUCCUAAAGUGUGGGGCAUAUCUAACUAAUGAUAAAAGAAAUUUCAAGUACCCAAGAAUCCAGCACUAAGCAGAAACUCAAGUUCAUUUCUAAUUCAAAAAAACAUAACCAAGAGUAUAAUAACACAUUUUAAAAUAAAUAAUAAAGAAUCGGAUUUCAGUUCAAAAUCACUCGAUAAAAUUUCGAGCAAUACCCUCACAACAGCAGUGAUAUCCCUAAGGGGCGUCCUCGGGUACCAAGAAGGUAACACGGUGCGUCCUCUCCUAGCAGCACUCCCCGCAGGCGUAUUCUCUCUCCCGAUUGGUCCACGUGUCACCGUUGCAGAUCCAAAAGCAUUCCUUCUUCCACGUACAAGGCCACUCCUCGGGGUCCCCAAUCCGCCACCUCUUCCAGCAACUCUCGUUUGUACACGUGGCGUCGCAGCAGCUGCUCUACCGAGUGGAGAUCCUAGCGGAUUCGAAGCGCUUUCCGGCUCGUCUUGAAGGAUUCCGAGAACUCCAUGCCGUCUUUGGGCAAAGACGACCGCGACGUCCACCGGCCUCACGAGCCUGUCACGUGCCUCCGGCAUUGUCUUUUCUUUUCUUGAUUUCUCCUGGAAACUGCCGAAAAACAAGAAAAGUGAUUAGCUUGCCAAGAAAAUGAAGAUCUCAUAAAUCCAAAGGACCAUAUUCGAAGAGACUGAUAAACCUCACAUUUUUCACGAAAAUGAAAAUUUUCUCGAGAAACGAACACUUUAGCUUACCUUGAAGAGAUGAAGAGCGCAGAAGAAUGAAGUACAGGAUGAAGAUUUUGUUCUUUAAAAUGUUAAAGGGAGGAGAAGGAGGCUAGGGUUUUGGAUGGGUAUCUGCUGUGCAUCAGAAAGAUAAGAAGAAGAGAGAGGAGAGAGGAGAGAAUUUGGCAAAUUUUCGAAAUGAAAUUUUGGGCGGUCUUAUAGAAAGAAAAUGUGUUGUUGAGUAUCAUCAGCCAAACGAAAAAUUUUUUUUAAAAAAAAAAAAAAAGCACGUGCAGGAAUGAGAUUCGAAAUUCAAAUUUUCUCAAGAGCGGGCGAUGGGAACGAGCCGUUUUGGUGUGUACGUACAAUUACUCUUUUGCCCUUAUCAAUUUGGGUGGACUUCCGGGUUGACAGGAUUUUAAUUUUUAAACACCAAUUUAUUGGUUUAAUACAACUCAAAUUCACCAAUGGGCCUUUGAUGAUCUGAUAGGAGAGUACCUGUACUUAUAAUACUGAGAAAAAGAAUUCAAGAAUAAAUAUCAAUUGUAGUCUAAUAAUAUUUAAAAAAAAACAUAUAAGUUACAAUGUAAAUUAUUUAAAUAUAUCAAUUUUUUUGAAUUGAUACAAUAUGGGGAAAGCCUACUACAAAUCUUGAUACAAACACUAAUAAAAAAUUGAUACAAUAUGGGGAAAGCCUACUACAAAUCUUGAUACAAACACUAAUAAAAAAUUGAUACAAUAUGGGGAAAGCCUACUACAAAUCUUGAUACAAACACUAAUAAAAAAUUGAUACAAUAUGGGGAAAGCCUACUACAAAUCUUGAUACAAACACUAAUAAAAAAUUGAUACAAUAUGGGGAAAGCCUACUACAAAUCUUGAUACAAACACUAAUAAAAAAUUGAUACAAUAUGGGGAAAGCCUACUACAAAUCUUGAUACAAACACUAAUAAAAAAUUGAUACAAUAUGGGGAAAGCCUACUACAAAUCUUGAUACAAACACUAAUAAAAAAUUGAUACAAUAUGGGGAAAGCCUACUACAAAUCUUGAUACAAACACUAAUAAAAAAUUGAUACAAUAUGGGGAAAGCCUACUACAAAUCUUGAUACAAACACUAAUGCAGUUUACUGGUCUAGUGAGUCUACUGAGCAUAUCAAGUUCAUAAGAGACUUGUAGAUCAAAUUACAAUCAAUCAGUUCCAACAAACAAUCGGAGAUAACAAUUAAAGACAAACUAACGAAAUAUCCUCCAAUGCACAACAUAUGUGCACGUAACUAUAUCAAGCUCUAACCGAAAUAUUCCUGGCUCUUUUUUAACAUCCACUACCACCAUGGUUGGCUUCUCCAACUAAUAUCUUGUAACAACUUAUCCAAAGCAUUUAGUUACCUAGAUUUGAAGCUUUGAAUCUCCAAAUCUAUGAGGAAAUGAUUUGUUGCCACAAAAAAAAAAAAAAAAAAAAAAAAACAAACCAAAAAAAAAAAAAAAAAAAAAAAAAAAAACCACAAAAGACAAUAAUCACCACAAAAUUGAGUAGGGUAUGAAAUCUAGGCCCAUAUUUAUUUAUCCAAUUUGAUUUUAUGUAAAUAAAAAAAAAAAAAAGCACGUGCAGGAAUGAGAUUCGAAAUUCAAAUUUUCUCAAGAGCGGGCGAUGGGAACGAGCCGUUUUGGUGUGUACGUACAAUUACUCUUUUGCCCUUAUCAAUUUGGGUGGACUUCCGGGUUGACAGGAUUUUAAUUUUUAAACACCAAUUUAUUGGUUUAAUACAACUCAAAUUCACCAAUGGGCCUUUGAUGAUCUGAUAGGAGAGUACCUGUACUUAUAAUACUGAGAAAAAGAAUUCAAGAAUAAAUAUCAAUUGUAGUCUAAUAAUAUUUAAAAAAAAACAUAUAAGUUACAAUGUAAAUUAUUUAAAUAUAUCAAUUUUUUUGAAUUGAUACAAUAUGGGGAAAGCCUACUACAAAUCUUGAUACAAACACUAAUAAAAAAUUGAUACAAUAUGGGGAAAGCCUACUACAAAUCUUGAUACAAACACUAAUGCAGUUUACUGGUCUAGUGAGUCUACUGAGCAUAUCAAGUUCAUAAGAGACUUGUAGAUCAAAUUACAAUCAAUCAGUUCCAACAAACAAUCGGAGAUAACAAUUAAAGACAAACUAACGAAAUAUCCUCCAAUGCACAACAUAUGUGCACGUAACUAUAUCAAGCUCUAACCGAAAUAUUCCUGGCUCUUUUUUAACAUCCACUACCACCAUGGUUGGCUUCUCCAACUAAUAUCUUGUAACAACUUAUCCAAAGCAUUUAGUUACCUAGAUUUGAAGCUUUGAAUCUCCAAAUCUAUGAGGAAAUGAUUUGUUGCCACAAAAAAAAAAAAAAAAAAAAAAAAAAAAAACCACAAAAGACAAUAAUCACCACAAAAUUGAGUAGGGUAUGAAAUCUAGGCCCAUAUUUAUUUAUCCAAUUUGAUUUUAUGUAAAUUAAAUGAGUUUAACUUUGAAAAUUUUGAUUCAUUUAAUAAAUGGUGAAUUCAAUUCGAUUAACUAAUUAAACGAAUUGAAUUCGGGUUUGAGGACAUUGAUUCAUUAAUUAAUAGUUUAGGAUUCGUUUAAUACAUAGGUCACAAAUGAAUAGAAUACGAUUCAUUUAUUUAAAAUUCAUUUAUUAUUCGUGUAAUUAAAUUACUCAUUUAUCCUUAAAUUUGCAUGAAAAACUUUAAAGUUUGCAGGCUAAUAUAGUAAUUAUAAAUGAUAAUACGUUGUAUUUUAGUGGAUAUUAAAUUUAUGGUCUUUUUAUAUUUUAUUUUGCCAUUUUUGUUUAUUAAUUAUAUUUUUGUAAAUGAAUUAAUAUUCAAUUCGAUUUGUUAUGGAUUCAUAUAGGAUAACGAAUAAUAAACCAAUUCAGAUUUGAUUUGAUUCAUUUAUUAAUCCUAUUAAAUGAAUCGAACUGAAUAUUUGUUUAAUAAACUAAUCAAAUACAAAUCCUAAGAUUUCAAAUCGUUUAAUAAACGAAUCAAAUAUGAAUCAGCACAGCUUUGACCAUAUUCAUUUACGAUUUGAUUUGAAUUCAAUUUUUUUAUUCGUUUUGCCAUUCUUAAAAAUGAGUUGAGUAACAGCCACCGCAAAUCUAAAAAGAUUUCCGCUCCAUUCCAUUUAUGGUGAGAAAAGUGACUUGAAAUUUUUGUUACCAAGCAAAGGGGUUAUAUAGAGAAAAUGAGGGGAUAGCUUAUUACAGUGAAAACAAUCUUUCCAAUGCAUAGCUCCGAAAUCUACUUCUACUAAUAUUGGGAAGAUAUCUACCCUUAUUUCAUAUUUCAUCAAAAAGUGAUAUACCACCUAAUUCAUGGAAUUACAUGGCGACUAUAUAACUAAUUUUGUGGCUAAAAAAAAAAAUCAAACUAAAAGCCAAAGAUUAAUAAAACAAGAGAAGAGAAGGGAGAUCUAUGAAGAGAGGAGAAGGAAGAUCUAGGAAGAGAGAGCACGGCAAAGGGAGAGAAAAAAUAUGGGGUGAGAAAGAUUUGGAGUGGGGUUCACAUAGAGAGAGGGAGGAUAUUAAAAAUUCUUAGAUAUUUAAUUUCAAUAAAUCUUAUCAAUAAUUGAUAUUAAUAAGUGUAAAUUAAGGGUACUUUUAGGGGACUGUUGAUCACGUGUGUGUGUGUGUGUGUUCCAAUCCGAAUUUUUAAAGUGUGGGAAAGUGCGGGAAAGUUUUAAAACCAUGCGGUUUUAAAAGAUUAAAUUGAAUGCCUUUAAAGCCGUGCGGUUUUAAAGUUUUCCCGCACUUUAAAAUUCAUGACUAGAAAACUACUAUAUAUAUAUAUAUAUAUUUCAUGUGGCUUAAUAAAGUCAAUUUUUAAUAUUGUUAAACUAUACGGCUUUAUAAUACAUUAAAAAUUAAGUCUAUUAAACCACACGACUUAACAGUGUGUUCAUAUUAAAAUAUAUAUAUAGAGAGAGAGUGUGUGUGUGUGUGCGCGCGUGUGUGUGAGUGUGUGAAAGUGACCGACUAUAUGAGCACAUUGACAUGACGUAUAUAGCAUACGGUGAAUAAAGUUGACAUUGUAGGUUAUAAAGACAACAUUGUGAAAUAAUGUUGUUCGUCAUAAGAUGAGUGAUAUUACACGCUAGACUUUUAUUUAUUUAUUUUUGGAUUAAGAUACUUAGAACAGCUUUUCGUGUAGUUAUAUCUUAUCAAAUUUGCGGUGCUUCCCACAAAUGAGCUGAUAUGGAAACCUCCUCCUGGAGGGUGGUCUAAAGUCAAUACAGAUGCUGCAAUUCAAGCACAGGAGCAGACUGUAAGGCUUGGAAUUAUAAUCAGAGACUCAAAAGGUGGUUCUGUAGCUACUGCAAUGAAAAAAAUCUAAGUUUUAUGACAGCAUAGCAUAUGCAGAAGCUGAAGCAAUAAACUUGGGGAUUGAAGUAGCAGAAGCAAUCCAGCCACUGAUAGUUGAAACUGAUUGUUCAGAGGUAGUUAAUCAAAUAUCCGGAAAGAAGAGAAGCAAAUCAGAGCUUUCAUGGAUCCUCUCGGAAGUUCAAAAUCAGGUGCAGAGAUUAAAGGAAAUGAAAGUGCAGUUCACACCACGGAUGUGUAAUGGCAUUGCCCAUGAUUUAGCCAAGAUGGCUUUGAAAAUCAACGAACCUGUUAAGUACUUAAGUGGGUGGGCACAUGCCCACCUCAUCUUUUAUAUCUUUUUUCUUAAUUAAUGAAAUUAUGCUUUCUUCUAAAAAUAAAAAAUAAAAAUAAAAAGAAAGAAAGAAAUUUGUGAUGCUUCUUGUAAAAAUUGUUCAACUCACAGUAUAAUUGUCUAACAAAAAUAAAAAUUAUCGUCCAUUCACAAGAAAUCAAAUCAAGUAAUUAUUCAAUGAAAGAUCCCUCAUCUAAUUAAAAUGAGGAACAAAUAAAAGAUAAAGAAAAAUAUAUAUUCUAAUAUAAUGUAUUUUCACUUUUAGUAUAAUAAAGUUCUUAUUUUUUGUCUUUUAAAACUUUAUCGGAUCCAUCAUUAUAAGUUUGCUUCAUAAAGAGAGAGAACAAAACAAGAAAUUAGAGGAUUGAAUUCCUCAUUAAAUUCAAAUAACAACAACAAUAACAAUAAAUAUAACAAAUGAAUAAUACAAAAAAUUGAGUGAAUGGUGAGCGUCUGCCUCUUGUGAAUGUGAUGUGAGCCCAGCAUGCUGAUGCGUUUGCAACUAUCGACUUUAAAACAAGAAAAAUGAAGAAAGUGAUUUCCACAAAUAUACUUGAUAUUAAGAAUUCUAUAUUCCUCCAGACAAACUAAAAAUAGUAGCUUCCGUUUACAAAUGCCUACCGUAGGAGAAAGGCUGUUCUCUAGCAAUUAGGCUGGUAGAGCUAGUCUAAUACUCUUCAUGAUCGAACCAAAAAAAGGGAAAAAAAAAAAUUUCAAUAACUUAACAGAUGUCUCAUCCUGUCCUUCCAGCAUCAAUACACUCUUUUUACAUGAAUAUACCCUUUUCUUGAAAAAUAAUAAAUCCUAAAUGAACAAAAUUUCCCAAAAAGAGAAUCAAGUGUCGAAAAAAUGUGAAGCAAAAUUACGAAGAAAGGCAGCAGCCACGCUUGGAUGCAGAAUUCUGAUCCUGGCCGGGAACAAUAAUUCUGGUACCUUUAAGAAGAUUAGAGUUGCCUGCCACAUCAUGCUCAUCAUUGGCAGUAAGGGAUUUCUUGCUGAUUAUCCUAUAAAUCUCCGUUAACACUGUUAAAAAUGCAGUUUCAACAUUGGUGGCCUCGAGAGCUGAUGUCUCCAUAAAGAAAAGGUUUUCUCUUUGGGCAAACUCUUGGGCAUCUUCCGUUGGCACCGCACGAAGACUUCCCAAGUCACACUUGUUGCCAAUGAGCAUAAUAACAAUAUUCUUAUCAGCAUGCCCCCUUAGUUCAUCCAGCCAUCUUGCCAUGUGGUCAAAUGACUGACGCUUCGUCAUGUCAUAAACUAACAUUGCCCCAACUGCUCCUCGGUAAUAUGCACUUGUCACAGCCCUGUACCUGAGAAGCAACAAAAUAAGACAAUUUCAAUACACCAUAAAUUAAAAUAAAUUCAAUACUUCAAAUAUCUUUAUUUGACAAACACCAUAAAAAAAAAGUUUUCAAAUGAUUAGCUCAGGCCACCUAAGUUAGGCCUGAGUCAGACACACAUUAGAUGAAGCGUGCACAAUAACUAUUUUCAGGAAGCAGAAGGAAAAACAAUCAACUAUGACCUCAUACACCAACCUACCAGCCUCUGUAGUUGCAAAAGUGGGAUGGGACCAAACUUCUUAAAUCAAGAUGAUUGUCAUGUUUCACAGAUCAAAAACAAGUAAACCGUACAAGUCUAUAGCUUAAAUUUUUUGAAUUCAUUCUGUCAUGGUUCACCUUACAUAUAUAGAGGGGGGAAAAAACAUAAAGGUUAUGAAAUACACAUGAAAAUUUAUGUAACCAAUUUCAACAAGAAUAUAUUAAGCUUCAACCUGGCUAUCUUCAGGAUAAGAUGAUCAACCUGGAGGCCACCAGAUAGAUUAUUAGUAGCAAAAUAGAAUCCGUUUAUCUUUCACUUGGACCAUGCCAAUGCCAAACAGAACAUUGUUCCUGAGUCUUAAGUUACUAAGAUAUAUAUAUAUAUGGUUGAAAGAAUUAAGAGCCUAACAAGAACAUCAGGUAUCUGCAGUAGAGAUGUGUACUCUUGUUGGGAAGAAUUACAUGGUUGCAGAAAAAAGGAUCAAUAAGUAGAGGUUCAGUAAAAAUAUCAGGAAUGAGUUCUUAGGUUCUUAAAGAUAGAAAAACUUAUAUUGGUAGUUUGUAGCAGAACCUUCAGUUCCUCAGCAUUAAUUUUGCUACAAAUUAAAUAGUAGAUGAGUUUCUUUGAUAUGAAAAAAAGAAGAUAUGGCUUAUCAGUUAUCAAGCUGGCAAAACCCACAAUAAAACAAAUACAUAGGGUAAUCAUGCCAUGCAAAGUUAAGACACCAUCAGGAGGUCCAAAUAAUGUAACUAAUAAACCUGGCACCAAAGAGAUAGAUAGCAGCAUUGCCUUACAAGUCAAGAUUGAUCACACAUGAACUGAAACUACAAGGUAGUCUAACUAUUGUACAUGGUCAGCGAAUGUAUGCUUACACUGCUGUUUGUGUGUACAAACACCAAAGGACCUGAGGAGCAGCAACCUAAGAUGACAGCUAAUAAUGCAAAUGAAUUUUGCUAUAUUCAAAGUCAAUUUAAAAGUAGAAACUAGGAAGGGCUGGUUCAUAAGUAUUUACAUAUUGGGAAAAGUUGAAAAUGGGUGCAUUGCAGGAAAAAUAAAUAAAUAAAUAAGUUGCUUGAGAUUCAUGAAAUUAACAUAGUACAAACUAAGGAGGGUUGAGCAUAAAUGUUCAUAUUGGACAAUUCUUGCACUGCAGGGAAAAGCAAAUAAGUUGCUUAAAAGUGGAAAAUAGGUGCAUUUGAUAGAUAAUACCUUUUUUUUUUUUGGGGGGNNNNNNNNNNNNNNNNNNNNNNNNNNNNNNNNNNNNNNNNNNNNNNNNNNNNNNNNNNNNNNNNNNNNNNNNNNNNNNNNNNNNNNNNNNNNNNNNNNNNNNNNNNNNNNNNNNNNNNNNNGGGGGGGGGGGGCGGCUACAUAGUCUAGCAAAUAGAUAUCAUAAUUCAUGCCAGAUAAAGAAUACUCCUGGUAUUAAUUUGCUAUUAGGUACAUAUACUGAUGAGUUUAUCAUUAAUAGUGAGGAGAAUGAGUGAUGUAACAUUUCAGUUCCUUGAAUAUGAAAGAAUCUACUGAGACCCAUAACUUAAGGUCCUACAAGAGCUGUAGAGACACUAUUCUAAUGCUGCAAAACAUAUGCUUCAGUCUACUCUUUAACCCAUACUUGAUUUCUCCCAUCCCACCCAAAAGAAAUCCAAGAUAUGUCUCAUUUAGUUUUCUAUUAAAUUCACUUUUACAGUGAAGAGAGAAACAAUAAAUAGUCAUUCUAACUGGAGAUAACACAACAAUCACUAAGCUGAGCAAGUCCUAUAGAAUAAUAGACACAGCCUUCAUGCUAUAACCUAAAGCAACCAAUUGGCGAGCAGUCACCUAGUCAACAAGAACUACAUAUCCCUAAAAUCCAAGCAGUAAAGAUUACCACACCCAAUAAGCCUAACCAAUAUCCGCAGCUCCGAAGAAAUCAAUCCACCGAUGAUCCAAAAUUAUCCUUCAAACUAGCCAGCUAAACAGCCUCACCCAAAAUUUGUCAACACCACAAUUCACUAUUAAAACAAAUUUCUUUAAAUGUGAUUCAUAAAAGAGUUUAAUUAAAUCGAAAACGAAGGAAUCAGAAAGAGAAAAAAUAACUCACCUUUCUUGGCCGGCAGUGUCCCAAAUCUGAGCUUUGACAGUUUUGUGAUCAAUGGAAAGGGUUUUGGUUUGAAAUUCGACACCAAUCGUGGCCUUGGAAUCGACGCUGAAUUCAUUUCUAGCAAAACGCGCCAGUAGCUGUGAUUUCCCCACCGCCGAAUCCCCUAUUAAUACAACUUUGAAUACAUAAUCAAUCUUUUGAUUGUAAUCUCCGUACAAAUUUGACAUCGUCGACGCCACCAAACAAUUGUUAUAUAAACCUAAUUUCCUCUAAAGAUUCGCAUAAAAUCAAUCAUGUGGAGGCGUUGAACGACAAGAUCCGAAGCUCAUGAUCUUAGAAUAAAUUGGAGAAGAAAAAGAUAUAUCAAAAUUGGAGAAGGGAGAAAAAAAAAAUUCUCAGCGAAUCAGAGAGAGGGAAAAUGUGAUGCUGAGACCAACGGCCAAUGCGGGACCCAUUAACGGUUUUUCGUUAGCAGAUUAAUGAAAUGUUUUUGUUGGGUUACUCUACGAUGCUGUAAUUUUUUUACAGCAUCAAUAAUAUUUGUAAUUGUGUACCAUAAGAUUUAAUUAAUAGUAUAUAAUAUUUGUAGUAAAAAAUAAUAAAAAUAAUAGUAAAUGGUUAACAAGUGGAGAAUUUUGUAAACUAACUAUGACCACCAUUAGAGUUUGAAAUAAUUUCACUUAAAUAGCAUAUUUUAUUUAAAAUUAUUUUUCAAUCCUCCUUUAAAUUUGAAAUGUGAUAAUCUUUUUUAAAUAAAUCUUCCAAAAUCUAUUACCAUUAAGUAUAAAAUAUAAAGAUAGUUUAAAUAAAUCUUCCAAAAUCUAUUACCAUUAAGUAUAAAAUAUAAUGGUAGGUUAUUUAACACAAAUCAAAUAAAUAAGUUGCAAUUGCAAAAUUUAUAUAUGAUAUAAUAGUAAUAAAUAACACAACUAAGUACAUAUACUUAAGUAAAUGUCAUAGUUACAUCAAUAAACUUAUUGUUGAGAUUACUUGUAACAUAAAAAUUACUUGAUCACACAUGUUUUAAUAAAAUUUAAUAUCAUAUAUUAAAAUACUCAUUAUUUUAUAUAAUAUUAAGGGCCAUUGUAUAAUUGAUCAUGAAGUAUGUAUUAUUUUUAACACCCAUUUAACAUACUUAUUCUCUAAAUUUUAUAUUUAUCUUACAAUUAAUAUCCUUACAUGGUAGGAAUUUUAAGUUUUAUAAGCCUAUAUAUUUUCAUUUUAUUUUCAAUUAUCACUUUGUUAAUUUCAUAAAAGUUAAAUCUAAUAUAUAUUCCUAAUGAACUUUAGUUUAUGAUUCAUGAAAGAUUAUUUUAUUGAUAUCAUUUUAUUGUAAUUAUAAAAUUUUAUGUUAUUAAGAGUCAUUACUUUUGUUAUGAUAAUUAAUAGUGACAAUAAAUAAAAUAUUGCCUCCAAUAAUAUUUACGUGGGAAAAAAAGUAAAAGAAAAUCAUUUAUAUUUUUAGAUUUUUAUUGACAUGGUAGGAAAUUAUCUCAACCUUAUAAAAUUUAAUUUUCACAAGCUUAUUUUCAUUUUUUUUUUCAAAUGUCACUUUGUUAAUUUCAUAAAAGUUAAAUCUAACACAUAUUCCUAAUUAACUUUUGUUUAUGAAUCAUGAAAGAAUAUUUUAUUGUUAUUAUUUGAUAGUAAUUAUAAAAUUUUUAUGCUAUGAAGAGUCAUUACUUUUAUUAUGAUAAUUAAUAGUGACAAUAAAUAAAAUAUUACAUCAAAUAAUAUUUAAUGGACAAAAUGAGAAAAAAAAAUCAUUGUAUGUUUUUAUAUUUCCAUUAUAAAGAUAUGGUUUGGGAUAUUUUAACUUAAAAUUUGGCACAAUAUUUGAGCCAAUAAUAUCUCAUAGUCUAAUGGUUGAUAUUGAAAGUUAAAGCAACAUUUCAUAAUGUUAUAUCAUCUACCAUUGAAUUACAUGAAAUAAAUAGUUUAAUUUUUUGAUAAAAAUUUAGAUCAAAAUAUUUUUAACUCUAUAGUUAUAUAAACACAUAUAUUUUUCAAUAAUAACUGGUGAAUAAAAUAUUUCUCAUUUGUUGUGACUCAUAUAGUAUUAUUAAUAAAACACAUAUAAAAUAAUUUAUUGCAAUGCUUUCUAUUAUCAUUAUUGUUUAGGUAUUAAUGGUUUGUAAUUAAAUUCAUACAAUACAAAUUAUUGCAAGACUUUGUGUUAAAUAACCUACUUGAUGUUAUAUUUUAUAUUUAAUAGUAACUGAUUUUGGAAGAUUUAUUUAAAAGAGAUUAUCAUAUUACAAAUUUAAAGGAGGGCUGAAAAGUAAUUUUAAAUAAAAUAUACUAUUUAAGUGAAAUUGUUUCAAACUCUAAAGGUGGUCACAAUUAUUUUACAAAAAUUAUCUACCCACUUAAACGGUUACUAUUAUUUUUAAAUUAUUUUUUUAGUAUAAAUAGUAUAUAUCAUUGAUUAGAUCUAAUAGUUCACAAUUAAUAUAUUAUUGAUGCUGUAAAAAAAUUUAGAGCAUCACAAAAGAACCCGUUUUUGUUAUAUUCAGGGAAGGUGUGCUUUUCAUGCAAAAGAGAGUUAAGCGUCGACGGUGGCCGUUGAUCAAAACGUGUCAAAGGGAAUCAGAUAGAUUUCCAUCUGGCGGCAGCCGGCAAUGCUCGAGGCUUUUUCCAUUUAACUAAGUAAUACUUAAGCAAUCAAGCUUUGGUGGCCCGGUCCAAAUUUAAUUAGGCUUCGGGCCGGUUACUUAGCAAGGGAGCAGAUGGGUGUUGUCUGGGGUGGACUAUUCGCACUCCUCCAAUUUCCUGAAAAAUCCCCGUUUCUAAGUACACCUCGUAAAUAAAUUUACUUGUACCUUGCCUUUCAUGUACGCCGCGUUAAUUUCAAAUUCACUCUCACCUCUCCUUUUCAAAACUUCCAAAAUUUGGCUUAUCUAUAUCGGGUUAGCUUGGUUGUCGUCACACCCAUACUGCUCAUUAAUGCAGAUAGGGAUGGGUGUUUGGUUGGAGUUGAAACAAAUUGAAUUGAACUUGAAAUUUUUUUUUUUGGGUUUUUGGUUCGGUCCAAUUUGAUCUUAAAAAUUGAUUGUAUUGAGAAUUGAAAAUCUAUCAAGUUUAAAUUCAGUUCCGAUUAAAACUGAAACCGAACAUCAAAAUUGAAUCGAGUUACAUUUAAAUAUAAAAAAAAAAAACUCUAAAUUUAAAAAAAAAAAUCAAUUUUCCUCAAAUCUCAAACUCAUUCCCUCAAUUGCAACAUAAAUUGAAUUUUUGACCUAAAAUUAUAACCCGAACCUAGUUUAAAUCAAACUACUUUUUAAAUCUGAUUGGGUUGAAUUCUCAAAAUCGAACAAGUUGCAACCCGAACUAAAACCCUUAGAAAUCAAACUGAAAUAAGAAACUUGAAACGUGCACCCCUAGAUGCUGGGAGGCUGGAGCAAGCAACGUUGCCUGACCUGGUUUAUUGGUGGUGGCAGUAGUAGCCCACCAAUAGUGUAAGAAAGAGGGGAAUAGUAAGCAAAGCAAAGACACCAUUAUUUAUGAAAUAUCGAGUUCGUAGGAAUAAAAGAAUUAACAAGUUUUUAUUAUAAAAAUUGCAAUGCAUACAAAUUUUAUUCUUUACUGAUAGUGCUAUUGCACUCCAUCAUGGUAAAACAAUAAUAAUUGAGAUAUCAACAAUUAAGUCUCAACUUAAGUCUCAAUUAUUACGUGGCAUUUAUUUAUUAGAUAAUAAAAUUCAUAAUUAAUAAAAAUAAUAUCAUACUCUUUAUUAAAUAAAUGACACAUCAGUUGAGACUUAAUUAUUGUAAUCCUGAGCAUUAAUCAUGGUAAAAACAGGGGUUUGAUAAAGCAUUUAGAAUUUUAGAGGGGUAAAAGCUCAUUUAGUCCCUGUAUUUUAAGAUUAGUGUCCAUUUAGUCCUUAUAUAUUUUAAAAAUGUCUUGAAACAUCCCUGUCGUUAAAGUAUUGAUACACAUACCGUUACUUUUUAUUUCUUUUGACUUACUUUUAUAAUAUUACCCUUUUAUAAUAAUUUUUUGUUGGACAUUAAUAAAAUAAUAAUAAUUAAAUUACCAAUUUAAUCAUAGAAAAUUAAAAAAUAUAUAUAUUAAUUUUUUUGUAAGCACCAUUUGCACACUUAGUAGUUUGCAUAUAAUUUUUGACAAUUAAAAAUUAAUAUAAUUUUUUUAGGGUUAAAUUGGUAAUUUAAUUAUUUUCUUUUUUAUUAAUGUCCAAACAAAAAAAUUAUUAUAAAAGGAUAAUAUUGUAAAAGUAAGUAAAAAGAAAUAAAAAUAAUGGUAGAUGUAUUAAUACUUUAAUGAUAGGGAUGUUUCGAGUCAUUUUAAAAAAUAUAAAGACUAAAUAAUAAAUAGAUACUAAUUUUAAAAUACAUGAACUGAAUAGACUUUUAUUCAUUUUAAAGUGGUGCAUCAACUCCUCUGGUUAUUCAGCCAGUAUUCCUUUAAAGGUUUCGAGAAGCCUAAAAAAUAAGUGAUUUUACUACUUUGAACAGAGUGAGGAAAAGGCCAAAAACACUUUUUCUAUAAAUAAUAUUGUACAAAGUGCUGUAGUAUAUAAUAAUAUAUAAAAUUAAGAUCAUGAAGUAGCCCAUAUCAUUUAUUUUGAUUAUUUAUAUUUUUUAAUCAAUCAACCAUAACAUGGAGCGUCACGUUGUACGAGUAUUUGUUCUUAUUUAGAAACUCUUUGGAGGAUGUGGAUCAUAUGUUCCUUUCGCUUGUCAUUACAAUUACAGCCUCAGUGAUUACUUGUUUCCGCAUAAACAUUUACAACAUGGCAACGACAGCAGCCGAAAAAUUGAAAAGGCUCAAAAUCAGACCAUAACUCCUGCAUUAAUGGUGGUCCCCUGGAUGAAUACAAAAUGGAACAGGCCAUAAAUGAGCUUGAGCUUGAUCAUUCACACCUCCAAAUUUGACUUUUCUAUUAAUUUUGAUUGCGGUUGUUGCAACCUUAACAAAUCAUUAACACAUAUUGGAUUUGGAGCUUCAAUUCCUACAAACCCACAAGUUGUUCAUUUUUAUUUUUUCUCUCCUUUUUGAGAAAAAUUCUAACAACUAUGUCGGAAGAAUUGUUUCCGGUUUUUUAGCCACUAGCCUUUCCUGCAUCUUUGGGUCGAAGUCAAACGAUUAUGAAGUAGCACAAAUUGAAAUUUCUGGCUUUGAAAGACUUAUGUAGCUGAAACAUGAAAGCUUAACAUUAAAACAAGAAAUGCAUUUGAAAAAAAGGGAGGACAAAAAAAAAAAAAAAAGUGUCCUGUACAAUUAUCUCUUUAUUUCACAUAUUUUGUAACUGGGAAUUGUAUCAGCUAACAGGAUCUAAAUCUUGUGGAGGAAAAUCCUAUCUGCUGUACCGUACAUCCGCCUUGGCCGUACAGCAGUCAUUCCCUCAAUUGCAACAUAAAUUGAAUUUUUGACCUAAAAUUAUAACCCGAAAAAAAAGGGGGGGAAAAAAAAAAAAAAAAAAGUGUCCUGUACAAUUAUCUCUUUAUUUCACAUAUUUUGUAACUGGGAAUUGUAUCAGCUAACAGGAUCUAAAUCUUGUGGAGGAAAAUCCUAUCUGACAUUCUAUUUCAAACCCAUUGAAGCCAAAAACGUUUCAACUUUUUAAGCUCGUUUGUACUUUAGUGCAUGGAAAGAAAAAGGAAAGAAGAUAUUAAUUCUAUCCCCACAGAAGGGGGCCUUCUCCAUUACUUAGCUUAUCUCUGACUUUCUGUACAGGAACAAAGUCAAACAAUUUGAUUCUCGACUGGUUUCUGAAUUUUUGAACACUUGCACUUUGCCCGGUUGUCGCUGAGAGUCUGCAAACAAAACAAUUAUCAAAAUGUAAGAUUAAAAAUUGUACGGCAAGAAUGUUGAAGUUGCAAGUUUAGGUUCUUCUGUUAUUACCUUGAACUGAUUUUGAAGGUCUUUGAUAUAGUCGACGGCCAAAUCCAACAUGUCUGCUGUGUUUGUUUGCUGCCAAGAUGAAACAAAAACAUUUUGAGUAUUUGGAAAUACUAUUGUUCUGAGGUUUAAAAGAUCGGAGAAGUAAUAUGUAUUAUUACCUUGUCCAUAUUUGGAACAAGCUCUUGUAGUUUCCUCAUUCGCUCACUGAUACGGGUUCUUCUCACCUGAAAACAUUUAGCCCUUAUAAUUAACUCAAACAAAAUGCCCCUUUUGCUCAAGUUAGUUAGAUAGAUUAUAACUGGUUUCUGAAAUAGAUAUUUUUACCCUUUCAGCAAUGCUUCGAGGAUGAGUAGCACAACCACGCUUUGCUCUAAUCUUACAAGGAACAGAAUCUUGGAAUUGCAGGAACUUUUCCACAGCAGCCAUCUCUGCUGAAGUCUUAGGCAAACUCAAAUGGUGAGACAACAUAUGAACUGAAUUCCCAAGCUCCCCAUUCUGAAGAUAGAAUUUACCAAAUAGAUUAAAAUCUAACAAGCAACAAGAUACGGAGAAAAUUAAAAACUAAUAUGCACAUCCAUACCCCUUGCUCUCUUUUCAUGUCGGUAAAACUCUCCGUGAAAUGGGAUGAAUCAUUCCAAGAACCAUACGAGAAUCCAGUGCUAUAAAACUGAGCAUCACCAUUCCCAUUUCUCACUUUUCCAUGUGUAGGGCCAUCACUCUCGACUUCAGAGACCCGUGACAACAUGCCCAAAGAAGAAGGUAUCCUUGAAGGGAUGCUAAUCUGACUUUUCAGCCUUUUCGUAGAUGGACUCAGGUCUCCAUUAGAGCCAUUCACCCCACCAUAGCUUCCCACUUCUUUCGUGCUCGCAUAGCCUGCAAUUCAUUAGGUCAUUUUUCUGACUCCUAGUUAUGAUAAAAUUAUUCUUCUCAGAAGAAAUCUUCCCUAUAGAUAUAUGCCUCAUAGGGCAGCAUUAAGCCAACCAAAUUUACAAAAAUAUGACACCUAAAGGAAACUGAAUUUUGACUCUCAGUAUUACGCAUACACUUAUUAAUCUAUACAAAUAACUAUCAAUUCAUCAAUACUAUAUUAUCUUAAGACAAAAAACCAAGAAACCUAUAACGGCAUAGCCAAUUCAAUACUGAAAAUUGAAACUACUCUCAAAACAAGAAGAAUUUCAAAUAUAAAAUCUAAACAAAAACAUUAAAAAUGAAACAAAAAGAAUAAAGAAAGUAAGCAGACAAAUCUCACAAAGCACAGUAACAGAAAUAUUGAACUGAAGAAUGAAAAUACCAUUUUGAGCAGACAGCUUCGCGAAAAGUCCAGCAGGGGAGCUACUCUGCCUAACAAGAUUGGAGUUAACAGAUUUCACUUGUGAGCUUUGAUCCAAAAACAAAUCAUACGAGUUAUGAUCCAUAGCAGAGCUCUGCCUCGGAUAAUGAGGCGGCAAACCAGAACAACUUUGCUGAGAAUUCCCAUAACUGACAGGAGAUUUAACCUCAAAUUCUUGAAAGCUUGAGUUGUUGCUAUUAUCACCACCAGAGUUCAUGAAUCUUGAGAUUAAUCUCUCUGAUUCAAAACUGCUCUUAUUAACACCACCAGAUUCUAAACUGUCAGUGAAAUUUACCAGAAGCGCGGUUGGAGCAGAGUUAAAUCUUGACAACCCAGGAUUGGAUUGCUGAUGAUAAUUAUGAUUAGUACUUGAAUCCAUGCCACAAUCACUCUGUCUCCUCUGUUUUUGCUCUGUUUCGGUCUGUUUCUUAUUGAGUAAGGACUGUUUUGGUUGAGUUAAUAGAGCCAGUGAAACAUUACAGGUAAGAUUGACAGAAAUUUAUUCAUCAAGAAAAAUUCUGGGAAUUUGCUUGCAUCGCUUUCUCAAGAAAUUUUUUCAGCUUGAAUUGUAAGCAGAGUGAAGAUAAGAUCUUGAACAGGAAGCAACUUUAUCUGAAGCUUCAAAGGAUAUAUAAGCUAUAACAUGAGCAACAAAACACAGACCCCAUUUACAGAAAAGGUAAUUAAAACUUGGGAGGAACGUUGGAUCAGCUAAAAAAUGAGAAUAUUAAUAAUAAUAAUAAUGAGAAAGUAAUAAAAGAUCGCUAAUAAGAAAGAAGGUUCCUUCAGGUUUUGUAUUGAAAGCAGAGAAAGCGAGGAAGAUCUUGAGAAAGUUAAAAAGAAAAAGAGAUGGCACUGGCGGUGUUCGUGGCAGUGAAAGAUAUGAAAGAUUUGUUGAAAGGGAAGAUGAUAUUUAUUUAUCUUCUUCUUCUUGUAGCCAGUGCUCCAGUACAUCAUUCAGGGACCUUUCUUUUUUUAAGUCUGAUAUAUACAGAUAUUAUUAACAUUACAUCAGAUAUUAUAAUUAAUAUUUACAAUCAUAUUAUAUAAUUGAGACUAUCAUUAUAUAUUAACACAUUAAAAUAUAUGUUCAGAUAUUUUAAACACUCUCUAAUAUUUAAGAGGUGCCUACUCCACUCAUAUUUUGUGAGGGAGAGACUAUCUCCACUUAAUUAAUUGAUAAUUGAAGAAAAACUAUAACUAAUCUCCAUAAUACUCUUAUGGAAACUCGAACCCUUACACUCAAUAUUAUAAGUGUAAAGCUUCUCUCAUUAGACCAAAGGCUCAUUGGUAUUCAGGGACCUUUCUCAAUCUAAGUUUCGUAUAUAUAUAUAUAUAUUUUUUAUAUUUUUAUUAUUUGCCCAAAAUACCCUUUUGAUUAACCAAAGAGAAAGCGAGGUAAUUUUUUUUUCUAAAAUAAUGUUAAAUUCGUCACUAAAUUUGUGAUUGGGGAAUUUUACUUCAAACACAAUAGUGGGCGUCAUCAUUUUUUUUUUCAUGCAAAACUGCAUGGUUUAUAAAAGUUAGUUUUUAACUCUUUUAAACCGUAUGAUUUUAUAAUUCAUUCAACAACUAACUCUUUAAAAUCGUACGGUUUAAAAAUAUAUCCGUAUUAAGAAAAAUACAGACGUCCGCACCUAACGAUGAUUAUUAAACACAAUAUUAUAGUUGCUUCUUUUUUUUAAAAAAAAAAUUUCUCUUUGGUUAAUUCUUAAUUCAAACUCCAAAGAGGAACCAAAGCAUAUACGACCAUAUGCAAAAAGAAAAUGAAUCUCAAUCCAUUAAUCUUGAUUUAGAUACUAUUUUUUUUAAAAAAAUCUAAAAUACAUCGAAAGUAUCAUGUCGUCCAUAAAAUAAGAAUGUUAUGAGAUAUAUACAUUUAUUUAAAAAAAUCAUCUUAUAAGUUGUGAUUAUAUUAAAUUCAAUUAUAUAUGUCAUGCGUAUAUCAUUUGAUUAUCAUACAUUAAAAAUAUUCUAGAAUUUCUCUUAAUUUUAAUCACCUCAAUCCCAAUUUAGUAAUUCUUUAUAAUAUAAUUCUCAAGUCCUUUUCAAAUGGAAAAUCCUAGUUGAUAAAUACGCCCAUUGAAUUCUAAAUCAAAAUUUAACACAACUUCUUUAAUAUUAAAUUAUAUGGCAUAUUAUAAAAAACUUGAAGUUGGGACCUGCCUAAGAGUCCCCCCCCCUGCUGUACGGCCAAGGCGGAUGUACGGUNNNNNNNNNNNNNNNNNNNNNNNNNNNNNNNNNNNNNNNNNNNNNNNNNNNNNNNNNNNNNNNNNNNNNNNNNNNNNNNNNNNNNNNNNNNNNNNNNNNNNNNNNNNNNNNNNNNNNNNNNNNNNNNNNNCCAAAAAAAGUGCAGUAGAAAUCCGUCAAAAAUUCAAACGUUUAUCAUAGUUAAAGUCAUAGUUGAGAGAUUCAAAAUUGAAUAUAAAAAAUAAAAUAAAAUAAAGUACUUGCAAUUAAGUAAUGGUUAAUUAAAACACCAAUCAACUUUAAAAAUACAUAUUAUGAUAGCAUAAAAGUAUUCUUAGAUAUUCUACUCCAUAGUUCGAAUAUCAUCAAAUAAUUACAUUUUAAAGGCUCUAAAAAUAUGGUCAAAUAUUUUUUUUAAGUUAAAUUCUUGGAGUUAAUAAUUUUUAUUGACUUUUUCUUAACUAACCGUGACAAGACCGUGGGGUAAAAUUCCCAUCAGGCCUCUUUAUGUCGUAGAAGAAAUUUCUUUAUGAUUAAUUAUUCAAUUAAGAAAGGGGAAAAAAAAAAAGGAGUAACUGUGCGGGAGAGAGAUAACGGGGAAUAACGAAAAUAAAAUAGACGGCGUUAAGAGUUGGGAAUGGUGUCAAUCACGGAUAAGGCAUAACCGCACGAGGUGUGAAAGCAAAAGCCAGAACCUAGAAAAAAUGCUAUUGGAGGAUGAUUGUGGCUUGACGUCACCGUAUUGUGCCCGUGAGCACCAGAUUCAUGCCGCAUCUGAUUCCCGCCCGUCGUUUUCGCCCUUUUCAUCGGUUUCAAUGAUAUCACAGGCGCCGCCGCCUUUCUAUAUUUGUACCUUCCUAUAUAUUUUCCCCCACUCUUUUCUUAAUAUUUACCAAGUUGCCACUACAGUUUAUUAAGGUCAAAACUAUAUAUAAUAUGUAGAUCUUCUUCUUCUUGUUCUGGAAUUAUCUCAGCGUUUGAAUGGAUCCGGUUUAUUCUACUGAAUUAGUGGGGGUGAAAAAUUAAAAAGUUUAAUAUUUUAUUAAGAAAUAAUCUAAGAUUAAUAAGAGAAAAAAAAAUGUAAAUGUUGAAUGCGAAUCAAAUUUAUUCUAUUCUAUUCCCCACUUGAGAUAAUACAAGCCCUUUUCUAAGAAAAAUAAUUGUGGUCAUUAUGCAUUCUUGAAAUAUUUAUAAGUUGACCCUAUUAUUAAAGGCAUUUCCAAAAUAAAGAGAAUACCGCCUAUAAAAAAUCUUAUGACUAGGUGAUUUUCUAAGGAGAAUAAUUUAAAGUUUUUUUUUUGGUUCAAAAACAGAAUAAUAAUUUAAUUCUUCUGAAAAAAGAAGGACCUAAUUUGAUUUCCAUUAAAAAAAAAAAAAGAGUACUUUAAUUAUCUUUCUUAACCCUGCCUAAUAUCUCUAAAUUCUUCUCUAGAGGAGAAAAAAAAAAAGCAAAAUUUUAUAUGUUUAAAAUCAAUAGAAUUUGAUAAUUGGACAGUGUCUAAAUUGCAGGAUAAAUACAAAUAAGAAAACAUUUAUAAGUGUUUAUGUGUUUUUUUUUAAAAUUAAAUGUAAUAGAUAAUUUCACUUUAUUGUAUUGGUUGUCAAACUCAUGAUGAUCCUUAGAUUUAUUAUAAUUAAAAUCAAAGAUAGACAUCAGGGCUCAGGAGGCAGGAGUUUGCAAGUGGUCCCUCUUUCCGCUCACGGAAAUGGUGAUAAAAAUUUUUAAAAAGUAAAAAUCACAUAAAGUUUUAAUAAAACUGACAGCGAGAGAUACAGGACGAUGUUUCACAUUCAUCAAAGGCCUAAGUAAAGUAAGGCAGUGUUUGUGUGGAGGGAAACAUGGACACGUGAGAUGGCAUUUGCUUCAAAGCAUUUUUUGCCUUAUUUUAUUUCAUCUUUCAAUUAAUUAAAGCCAAAUAGUUUUUUUUUUGGGCUUUAAUAAAUCUCCAAAAAGGGUAAAAAGGGCUUUUAAUUUUUAUUUUUAACCAAAAGCCCUCUCUUUUCUGUCUUCUUAGUUGAUAAGAGUGACAUUGUUUUAGAUUUCUCCUUUAUUACUUUUGAGAUAUGGGCAAAUGGGUGCCAAAAUCCAGAAACCAAUGGCCUCGUUCUCUCUUUUGAUUCUUUUGUUUCCUUUGGGGAUUAGGGUUUUUUGCAUUUGUUGACUUCUUUCCCAAGGAUUCUUUCUAUAUUCUUUGUAUUUUUUAAUUUUGAUAAAUUUCAACUAGUAGUGGUAAAAGUUUAGAAGACCAAUUAUACAAUAGAAACUAUUGUUGUGCGUGUGUUCAGAUAAUAUUAGUUAAUUCAUAGAACCCAUCUAAAGCUCCGUUUAAUAUACAUUUUUAAAUAAAAAAAUAUCUAAGUAAAAAUUUUGUUAGUAGAAUUUUUAUAAGUAGAGUUUCUACUUUAAGACCAUUAUAGUUACAAUUGUAGUUUAUUUAGUUUUAGUCGUCGGCUCCCUAUCAUUAGGUCACCAAUUUUCUUAACCUUCUAUCAAUGAGUAGACUCAAUCCCCAUACAUAAUCUUACAACUUUGCAAGAAAUGUGGUUUCAAUAAACAGUCGACCAAGUGUGCACAUUAAUACUAGAGCUCUUAUUACAUUGCCGCUCUUUUAACUUAAUUCCAAUAUCAUAGUAGAUUUUACCGAUUGAAACUUGGUACUUGAUUGAUAUGACUUAUUUAAUUGUUAUAAUUGUUUAUUUAAUCUCAUAAACUCCUAUUAAAAUUUUCGUUGUUGUUUGGUUGUUUUUUUAGUAAAAUUUUUUAAAGAUUAAAUAAGUUAUUUUGUCUUUAUUAACAAAGCUUAAUUUUUAGAUUCUUAAAAUAAGAGAUUGAAAAGUUUUUUUUUAAAAAAAUUUUAAAAUGCAUAAAAUAUCCUUGCGCUCAAUUGUACGUUGUGAUAGAUUUUCUAUAUAAUCAUCUUGAUGAUAAUUGCAUCGAAAAUACUGAACAUUUGGCGGAAUGAAAUAUUCAUGUAUUUGUAUAGAAAAACGAAAAAUGAGUUUUUAAAAACUAUCUAUAGCCCAUUUCAACCUAUUAAUCUUAAUGUUUGCGGGUCAGAUUUGGCAACAGUGUUUAUUCAUAAAGAACAUUUUAAAUGAUGCUUGGGUCUGUCCAAGUACAGAUUUAUUUUAAUUGUUCUCUUUAUAUAACAUCUUCUUCAUUUUUUGUUUAUAUUAAUAAAGUUCAUGCAUUUGCAUUAAAAAAACAAAAUAUCCCUGUCAACGUUGGUGUAUUUUAAUAUUUCUUUUAAAUACUUUCAAUUGCUACUUUAAGUAUUAUAAUUAUAAACAGCUGAUAGUAAGAUCUAAACGCACGUUUCUUUUAAAAGCACGUUUAUUGAUGAUGUUUACUUCACAAAUGAAGGUAGGAUUGGUGAAUCAAAAUAGUGAGGUCUACCUAAAUUUAAUAAUAAAGAAUAGGAGAUUGAUUCUCAAAGGGUGUGGGAAUCAUCUUUGGGAAAAAUUCUCAUUCUACCCCCAUUAACAUUUUAAUAUUCCCAAAAUGCCCUCUUUAAAUGAAAAAUAUAAAUACCAAAAAAUUAAAAAAAGCAUAAUAAUAAUAAUAAUAAUAAUAAUAAUAAUAAUAAUAACAAUUGUAAUAAUAACAAAUAAUAUAUUAUAUUAAAAACAACAACAACAACAAUAAUCAUCUAUUACUUUUUUUAUUGUUAUUGUUACUAUCCUUCAUUUUUUUGUUAUUAUUAUCAUUAUCAUAACAAUUUAUUUAUUUUAUUAUUUUAAUUAUUAUUGUUAUCAAUUAUUAUUGUGUAUACUAUUAUUAAUAUUUUCAGUUUUAGUAUUAUUUUUAUUCUUAUUAUUGUUAAAUGUUAUAAUAGAUACAAAUACUAUUAGUAAUACUAAUUGACAAAAAGUAUUUUUAGUAAUUUGAAACAAUUCAUUCCGAUUCCAUAAUAAAGUAAACAUAUCAAUAGGAAUGGAGUUCGUUCCGAUUUUGAUUCCUAUAGCUUAAGUAAGUAACUUAUUUUGAUUCUCAUUUCCCAUUCAAAUUCGAGUCUAUUCCCAUUCCUACCCAUUCUAAUUUCUAUUCAGUAAAUGUAUCGUAAAAGUAGUUUCACAUCAUCCCUUGAUUGUUUGAUGAGCAAAACUGAGUUAUACCCAAAAAAUAAAAAUAAAAAAUUAGAUUCAUGUAUGUUACAGAUGAUGUAACUUAGCAUAAUUAUAAAUCAUAGAAUCCUAAACAUUUUUUACUGAUAGAUUCUAUUUGGGUCUGAUUUUUGAAAACCAUUCUGUCCAUCUCUACUCACCAAAUACUUUACUAGGAAAAACUAUAUUGAAGAUAGCUUCAUAAUGUGAUCAUAUAAACAGGUUAGAUUAGAUUUUUGUUCCAGGCUUUCAGUGUAGUAGAAUAUUGAACAUGGCUUUAGAAUUUGAGUUUAGAAUCGGCAAGGUAUUGGGCUUAAAAUGGAGUCACAGAGCGGAGUUCCCAACACACCGAAAGCUAUUACGAAGCCCUGCUUGCGUAUCUGUAGUUUUUCCCUUACUCAAAAUUACAGGAAAGGGCGAAAGGUAUAAUAGAGUUUUAAUUAAAUUUAAAUAUCAUGUAAAAUAAAUUAAUCAAAUUUUAAUUCAUAAUAAAAAUCAAUUAUCAGAUAAUUUAUUCCUUCAUUGUUUCAUUUUGAAUUUAUAAAAAAAUAAUUAUAUCAUUUAUUAAAAUUUAAAGAUAAUAGGCUUCAUAGUUCAUAAUUGGGUGUAAAGACAUUUUAAUUUAAUUAAAUUCAGUUUAUCCUUUUAUGCAAUUUCAACUAAUAAUAUAACCAUGUAUGGGUUUUUUUUUUUAAGGAUUUUAAUUGGGGUGUAAAAAGCCCAAGUCGGAAUCACUUUCAAAUCAAUGUCCAAGACCCACCCUAAACCUUUAUCCAGAUCUAAGGCCCAGAUAAUAAUUCGUUGCUAGCCCCCAUGAAUGUUGAAACUUUAUAAUUGUGGAGAAUGCAACAGUAUGUACAAAAUUCGACAAGUUUGUCACCUGAAUUAUUUGGUCAGCAAAAGCAUCUGAUUUUCAAACUGAAAGCUGCUCGCAUUUACAAAGUCAUUGUUUUGCUUUUGCACAUACAAGUAGCCAUUUCAGCUAUUUUUCCAAAUUUUCCUUCAACAAAUCUCUGAAGAUGUAAACUUUUCAACAGACCAAGAGUCAAGACUCGAGAUGGACAUAAAUCAACACAUUCAAGGAGAAUGCAGUUGUUAUGACAAUAUGUUAAGCAGGCAUACACAUCUGAUACAUCCAAAGAAUCCCACAAUCAAUGACAUCAAUGACCCCGAUAAAAAAACAGCAUCAAACACCGGGAAGUUGGCUACCUACUGGCUACAAUGGACAAAACUUACAAGUCACUUCCAGUUAAUUUCAUUGCAGUUUGACGCGAUCAAGACUCUCAGACACCGUUCUCAUCCUCGGACGAAACUCUGGAUCAAGUUCGGUGCAGUUGAGUGCAAUAUGGAAUGUAGCGAGAACUUGUCUCUUUGCAUGAAUUUCUUUCACAAGUGCCGGGUCUAUAACCUCAGACAAGGGACGUCUUUCACGGAAAGCUUUCCUCACAAGACUUUCUAAGCCCUUCCCAUCAUUUUCUGGUCCAGCAUCAGGCAGCCUCCCAGUUAAUAUCUCCAAGAGUACAAUCCCAAAUGAGUAGACAUCACAUUUUUGAGUGAAUUUGCUGCCAUAUAUUCGAGCCUCGGGUGCCAAGUAAACAUUAGAGAUUGCUGAAAUUCUUGAACCCGUUCCAGAGGUUACAAUGGUUUCAUUUUUCGUUACUUUAGAGGUACCGGGGAGAAGACGGUUGAGUCCAAAACCUGAGAUACAAGGAUGGAGUUCAUCAUCAAGAAGUAUUUUUGUGGACUUUAUAUUGCCAUGCACAUAUUUUCGAGGGCUGUACUCAUGUAUGUACAUUAGACCCCUUGCAGUUCCUUGAGCAAUUUUUAACCUCGCCUCCCAUGGAAGUGGUGGCAAAGAAUCUGACGGUCCCGCUGCAACAACAGUUAAAACACCAUCUUAAAAACCAAUUAGACAUUGAUUAUACUGCCAAACUUAAGCUUACUACCAGAACAGCCAUAAGAAAUUAGGGUUCCACCUCGUGCUUGUCACUUUUAUAAUGAAAAUGAUGCACCUGUCUGUCACUUUAUUGGGAUCCAUCCAAAUAAAUUAUAGUCUUUGUAUGUAUUUAUAUAAGAAAACAGUGGCAGAGCACCAGGACCACAAAAUAAAUUCUUGUAUUGAAGCUCUGUAACUAAGAUGCAAACUGGUCCGUACAAUGCAUCUAAUGACAUGUGACAUGUAUCUUAACGGAGGGAAAAAAACAAAGAGAAAAACGCCAAAGAUCCAUUAGAAUUGAAUAAAUACUGUAUCAAUGAGGACACACACUCUUUAUUAUGUCCGGUUCUCUGAUUACCAAAAAAAAAAAAAACAACAAAUCAAAGAAGUAUAAGAUUUCGAAAUGGCCAAAUUAAGAAGUGUAUCUUUAUGCAGUGAAAAAACAAGAAGCAUAUUCCAAACCCAUCAAUAUCAUGUCCUAUUUUCAUUACAAAUAUUUGGAUCCAAACAUAAGAUAUUAAAGACAUGGGCACCUCAACUUCAAAAUUUUAAACUCAAUCAUCCAAUUUCAAGAUGUUAACAAAAGAUUCAUAUCUCAGCAACACUCGUGACGAUAUUACAUCAUGGGAACGUGUUAAAAUUGUCAAAUCUCAGAGAGUUUCUUAACUCUUAAACAUGAAUUUAAACUUGACUUCCACCAAUAACAAUUGUACUAGCACAUCUUUUCAAAUGUGCAAUGGCAUUCUAAAAUUUACCAAGCUGCCUAGUUAUUUACCGUAAAAUUAAUUUACAUCUAAUGUAACCUAGAAGCUGCCUGCAUCUAAAUCUACUAACAGGGUUAUUCUCCUUGCCACUGACUCUGAUGACAGCAAAUCAGAAUUCAAGUUAUAGUGAGCCCCUACACCAAUCAUAUUACGGUUUUGAAAGGACAGAUUGACACCCGUGAUCAUCAAUCUGGGACCCAGGUAUAUCAUUAAAGAUGAUUACAAGCCAUACACUUAACAUUAAUAAUCAUCCCUACGAGUAAUUUAUUAUUUUCCCAGUCCAAUUCAACGGCUAAUAAUAACAGCAAUUAUCAACACCAUGGAAAGAGGAAUGUUACCAUGCAACGCAGCGUACAAGCUCCCGUUGCGGAUGAAAUCAGAAAUCAGCAACUUCUCGUCAUUGGCAUAGUAAAAAGCUUUCAACCGCACGAUAUUAGGGUGCUGGACCCUGGCGAUGGCCUCCACCUCGCUCUCAAAGUCCUUGAACCGCCACGUGGCAUCACCUUCAGUCAACCUCCUCACAGCCACCACGGUGGGCGCGCCCAUACCCGAUCCUCUUCCCACAACCACUUUAUACAUUAUCCCAUUCUUGCUCUUCCCCACCACGUAAGCCGAUGCCCUCAACAAAUCCUCUAAUUCCAAACUAAACCCUUCAUCGAUGAUGAAGAAUUUACCCUUUUGCCCCUCCUCCUCAUCAGUAACGAGCACGGCAUCAUUUGUCUUUUCCUCCUUUCCCAUUUUGCCCUCCCGAGCUCUUCGUUUUCUCCGAAACAGCCAUACCGAGACCGAAACGACGCCAACCACCACAGAAACGCCCGAAAUUACAGAAACUACCACUGAUCCAUUUCUCCCCCUGUCCUUUACAUCACCACUGUACCCAAAGUUAGUAUUUUUAGGGUUUUGUGGGCCGUCUUCCACUUCUGGGUUUGCAUGAACUUUGGGGUUUUCAGGUUCGGGGCAUGGACUCUGCAAAGGAAACCCACAAAGCCCGGGGUUUCCUGAAAAUGCAGUGGGUCCCUGGUUCAACAAUGAACCCACUUGAGGUAUCUCUCCACUGAGGUUAUUAUUCCUUAGAUCCAAGCUCACCAUCACCGGAAAAUGACCAUACAUUUCCGGAAUCUGGCCCGAGAACUGAUUAAACGACAAGUUCAGAGUGCCAGUGAGGGCUCUGAGGUCGAGGAGAAACUGGGGCAAGGACCCGUUGAGGAGAUUUGAAGACAAAUCCAAGUGGGUCAAAUUCUUGAGCGUUUUGAUUCGGUCAGGUAUUGGGCCGGAGAAUGAGUUGUGUGCGAGGUCGAGGUAAACGAGGUUAGUGGCGUUGAAGAGAUUGGCGGGUAUUGGUUUCGAGAAGUUGUUGCUGGCGAGGCUGAGUCGAGUGAGUGAGUUCAGCAAGCCGAGUUCCGAAGGCAUGUAGCCAGUGAGGUUUCUGUUUGGGAGGUACAGAGAGGUGACUCUGUUUCUAAUGCAGUGAAUGCCGGACCAGUGACACGGGGUCGAGUCUGACUCGGACCAUGAGUCGAGAGCUCGAGUCGGGUCCUGUGCAAUGGCUGCUUUGAGCGCAAGAAGCGCAAGGCCAUCUUGGUUCAGAGAGAAACAAAGAGGAGCUGGGAAUAAUAACAGGAGUGCGAAGAAAAGGAGUGGAAGAAGCAUUUUGGAACAAUUUGAUAAUAAGGGCUUCCACUUUAAUUGACUCUUAGUUCAUUCUGAUGAUCACUGAAUAAUUUUGCUAGUGCAACGAGGAGUUGCAAAGAGAAUGAAGAAGAGUUCGAAGAAGAAGGAGAAGGAUAUUUGAAAUUGAAUUGAAUGAGUUGUUUGGUUUAGUUUAGUGUUACCGAGGUAGCUGCAGACACCAACGUGGCUAAGCAAACGUUUGAAUUUUCUUGACUAGUGUACGCACUAUAUCCUUUUUUUAAAAAAAAUAAAUAAUUUAAAUAUUAAAUCUUAAAUCCUAAGUUAAUAAUCAUUCACAUUUUGUUCUUGCAUGCAUGCCUUGAUCGUGGCAAGAUGUGUAAUAUUUUCUGAAAAUUUAUUUAAUUUAUUAAAUUGGGGACGACAUUUUGGUGAAAAGGGUAAAAGGGAAAGAAAAGAUAAAGACAUUUGUUCAUGUCAGAAAGACAGACAGAACACGUUUUUUUACUUUUUCAGUUUCCACUAACAAAAAGGUCAUUUUAGUAAAUUCAGUUCAAGUUUGUUUUUAAAAUCAAACGAAAUAAAACGACAAUCGGAAAAAGCAGAAAUUCGUAUGCACCAAUGUCGUCUUGCGAGGUUGCGAUGCUGCUGUAGUUAGGAGCAGCCAAAUGGAUGGGUUUUAUAUUAUUUAAUUGCAAAUGACGAAAUUAACUCAAUAUUAAGCACUUGAAUUUUUAAGCAUAUGAUAGUACUAAUUUUUUAACUCAUAUAUUUCUAAUCUGAAGGCCGUGAGUUGUUAAUUUUUUUAAGUUAUUGUAUUGAAUCCGAAUCUAAUUAAAUAAUAACGUGGACAGUGAGUUUAAAUUUUGCCAUGAGUAAGCGCAGUUUUGUCAAAAGCUGUGUAAUCAACAGUCAGUAAGAAAUGACAGAUUAACUGAUGGGCCUCGAGGUUGUUAUCUCUUUACCCGAAAAAGAUUUAAAAAGAGAAGGUCCCAGCAGACUGUGAUUUCAAACACCACACCAACCACAAGAAAUUCAAAUUUGAGCAGGUGAAUAUCCAAAUAAUAAUAAAACUACAUGAGCAGGUAGUGGUUAAAAUCUAAUUCUUUAGAGUCUAGUAAAAUCUCAUGUUAAAAAUAAGUUUCGAGAGAACUUACCGAAUGAUUUUUAAAUAAUUUUAUUUAACUGAUUAUUCGAGUUCGAAUCUUAAAAUUAGGAGAUAAAAGUUUAUAUUAUCAUUUAUGAGAUAAAUGCACUUCUAGGAAACUACUAACAAACUCUAUUCUAAGAAAUAGAAACUACUAACAAAGUUAAUCAGGCGGGUAUUUUUGCCACUCCUACUUGCCCUCAUUCGAACACUCACGUUUCACCUUCAAAGAAGCUUCACCGAUUUCUCACAUUUUGCCAAAACAUAGUACGAGAAAGAGAUGAUGAUGAUCAUUGUGGAUUUUAUUCCAGAAUAAAAUAUCAUUUUUGUUAAACCAUGAAAAUCAUCCUUGCUACCUUAUUGAACUCCUUUCCGUAUAACAUUAUGCAAUACAGCUACAUGAUACGAACUUGUGUCGACUAAACUAACACAGGAAUUAAUCUUGUUUUCUUUCUAUCAAAUAUCAGCACUAAAGUUUUGAUAUACCACCUUUACGCCCCGGAAUUUGCAAAGCAUCAUAGUGGCCAAAUCCAUGAUAGAGAACCCUGAUAGGUUUUUCCUUGCCAUAUUCUUGGCCAUACUCGGCAAUUGAUAUCAGGCCGCCUGCAUCCUUAUCAUGAAUAUACACUGUGAUUGGCAUCCUGCGAUUAUCAGAAUCACUGGAUUCUGUCAGUUUAAUGAUGCAGACGACAAAUUUUAACACAAAAAAGUAAUGGAUAACUAUAUUUACACUGCCCCCGCCACCAGCAAUGAGCCAUUAUGAACCCCGUGAAACAACAGUAUCACAUUCAGAAAACCAAUAGCUCAGUUGGCUAGGGAGUGCAAUGGCGUAGGAUAGAUUUAAGGUCAAAUUCCUACAAAGCGAAAGAAAGAGAGAAACACUUACCGGAGAACAUGAGAAGCCAUGAGCAAUUCAGGCUCACCUCCCCAAACAUGUGGCUUCCUAAUCUGUGAAACAUAUAAGUCAAAAUCGCCUUCAAUGAACCUGUUGAUAUUGAAGACCACCACAACCAAGUCCAUCAGUGAGAACUCUAAAAUACGUUAAAUGGCAUCAGCAUGUUCUUUGAUAUAACAAAUGUCAUAUUAGACGUCUGGGAAGACAGUACAUGGUAAGGAUCACAUCAUAUGUAACUUAAUUCUUCUCUCCUACAGACAUGUUACUGCCUUCUAGGAAAAAAUCUGCCAGAGAUAUUGUCAUGCACAAGAUUCCUUAAAAGUUUGUUUAAUGGUUCCUCAUGACAGGGUGGCAUUCAUGAUUUUCUAUCAGAAUUUAUUUCUUUUUACUUCAUCCAAAAAUUACUCAUCUAUUUUAUACAAUUCUUCAGCUAAAAUCAAAACGAGGUAACCAUAUAAAAAAGGUAACAAUUUGACAGUGGUACAACCCAUAAAUGUACCAUUCUGUCUCUUCCCUUCUCUUUAUAAACUCAUCAGCAACCUGAAAAGUAAAAUGAAUGGGAAAAAUGAGAUUGCAUUCAAGAAUAACAGAUACCCCUUAGGAUAAAACUACAGGGGCCUUCUAGAAGGAAAAAAUACAAAAAUAAAAGAGCGAGAGAAGAGAAUACAAGGAACAUACUUUAGCCCGUAAGUCAUCAGCAAGUUCUCUCUGGAUACUCACACUUGGAGCAGGUUUCCCAGCUCUUAAACAAGCCCCAUGAGCAACAGCACGGAACAAACAUCUGCCAUCUCCAGGUAUGCCUGCAUAAUGCAUAUUAUCUAGUUAUCUACACUGGAAUGCAAGUAUUCAAAAUUAUUUCACAUGUAAAGAUUUCAGAACUAUCAACAUGAGUAGCAUACAAUUACUUGUAACAAAAAUGUAUAACUGUACGAAAUUUAGGGGUGAUGUGGCGCUCAAUGCUUACCAAUAACAGAAUAGUCAGUAUAUACUUUCUUCCCAUGUGAAUAUUUUACAUUUGACAAAUCAUAAUCCUCUUCUCCAUCCUCUUUCUCAUCAGCAGCUUCAGCAUGCGCUUUAGAACUUGAAUAACAAACUAAUAAUCCACAAAUUAAGCCAGCAGAUGCACAUCCUUUUGGCCAAUCUAUAGGUCCAGCAUUAAGCUUCAGUUUGGGAAGCACCCCUUGAUUGGGCACCAAGAGCCUCAUCUUCAUACUAUGGCAAGCCAAUGAAAUUUCAAUAUGUCUCUUUUGAGAUCCUCUUGAACCAAUGAAACUCCGAAUUGUUAAUGGCUGCAAAUUGCACCUUGGUUUGGUGAGACCAAGACUAAAACAAGUUGCCUGGAAUGGUUGCAAGACAUUAAGAGAUGAAGAAGAGAUUGUUCGUGAGAUGCCAGUAUAGUUCUUCUUAGACUGCCCGCUGCACAAAUGGAAACAACAUGAACUGGAAGGUCCUCGAUAUGUCACACCACAUAUAUUGCCACCCAUUUGUCCUUGAAAUCGUCCACCCAGGUUGACAACAUUCUUUGCACAGGCACAGAUUGAGGUAGAAACAAUCAUGUUGGCAUAGCCUGUGGGAAUAGUGUGUCAACAACAAUUUAGAUGAAUAACUAAGUAAGUGUCCAUCAAAACUAUGUCUCUAAUAAAUGAAUGUCAGUUGGCUCAAAUCAUCUACCAUUGCAGCUAUUUCAUUUCCACCAAUAUCAACUAAUUCAUAAUGUCUAAAACCACAAACAUACUUUUUACCUGCCUGCAUGCCUAAAGAAAUUAUUUUGCAUCAUAUCUCUGUCACAUAGGGCUUAAGUUACAAAACCCAUUUUGCAUUUCACACUCCUAGGCUUUAGAGUUUGGCACAAUUUCGUGUCGACCUGGGAAAGCUCAACAAGAUUUGAAGUAAGUUAUGGUCCAACUAUAGACUCAAUGCUCUACCCUCCAAGCAACUUUACGUUGAAUGUUAACCAACACAAUGGUAUCAAUUCUAAGGUGACUUAACAUGAUGUUGAAUCAACAUUCACCCUAAAGGCAUUACAUAAAGGACAUCCUUCCAUAGAACAAUGAUUGAGUAGAAACCAAAAAAGAAACAAAUAAACAAGACUAAAUAGAUCAAAUUCAAGCAUAUUUGAUUUCAAUUAAAUAUUAAGCAUAGUUAUCUCAAACAAAUUCCCAAAAGUUGAAUAAAUUAAGAGCCUGUUUGGUCCAUUUGCCAAGUAUGCUCGUAAACAGAAGUUUGAUGGACUCCUAUCAUCAUCUAACAGCCGAUAAUUCUCUAACAACCCAAUUCCAAACUCAAUCCCUUCUUUGGAGCUAGACUGACUAGAUAUUUGAAUUUUUCCAGCUUACAGAAUCCAUCAAGAUUAAGCCAUUACUAAAACAAUCAAUCAAGAUACAUGUCUAUCCACAAGCCAAAAACAAAAUAAAUCAUUGACUGUCAAAUUCUCAUUACCAGGAACAAAAGAAUUAAUAAUAUAUAAUCCACAAUAAGCGAAUAACUAACCAUCAAUAUCUCCAGCAACCACAGCUAAAAGAAGCAGAUAGAAAACAGAGAAGAUAACGAGAAAUCUAUUGAACAUUUAUUGAUAAAACAAAACAACAUAAAAUAAAUGACAAAAGUGGUGAGUUAAAAACAAAUAAUAAAAAAAAAUAACAAUAACCCAGAUAGGCUAAUGCAUUUUUCUGAUUGUUUCUAGAAGACGAAAGAAAACUGGUGAAGUAAAGAAUCAUUACCUGCUAAAGCUUUGAAUCCUUAACGAUUCAACCCACCAGAGAUAAAAUGACUUUAAUAACAACAAGCAAUGUAUAAAAUUUCUCAAGGCUUCCUUUUUCUGACUGUGAGUUGAGUUUUAUUUAAGUUCCUCAUUUUGCUUUGCUUCUCCUAUUCAUUUGGGUGUUUCCGUGCUUAUGUUUUUUAUUCUUCGAGCUGAGGAGAAAACGGUGUCGUCUAAGAAUUAUUAUCAUUUUUUAAUACAUAAAAUUCCCGAAGUAAAUUAAAUGAAGUAGUAAAUCCAAAUGGUAUGUUUUAUGCAUAUCAUAUUUGAAGUAAUAUUCAAUUCAAACCAUAAGACAGUUUGGCAACAUGCCGAAAUUAACUGGACUUGGAUUGAAUUGAAUUAAUUUGGAUAGUAUAUGAUUGCACUAAAUUAUAUUUAGUACUGUUAUACGAUUUGUGUAGUGUAUGAUUGAAUUCAAAUAAUUAAAUUAACUUAGAAUAAAAUUAAAUGUACUAAUAUUAAUCUAUUAAUUAUUAGAUAUUUAAAAUAAUUUUAUUUAUAUACAUAAACCACAGAUUGCAAAUUCAAAAAUUUAAAGAUAUAAUACUAAACAAUGAAAAUAACUACACAAAGUAAGUCUUAAUGCUUAACGUCAAAUAUAGUUCAACAAAAAUUUAUAUAUGUAUCUAAAAUAAGGAUGUAAAUCUUAUAAAAACGGGGUAAAGUUAAAGGCUUGAGUAAGUUUUAAUAUGCCAUGCUAAAGCCACGGUCCAGCUCCAAUGAUAAUAAGGAAUCUUUAAAUAGAUUUGACAAUAUUAAAAAUUUAUUAAUCUAAAGAUUGAUUUUAAUAUUUUAUGAUAAAUGAAAAUAAAUAUCACAAAUACAUACAUUUUGAAAUUGUUAUAAUAUUUCUAAUUUGUCAAAUACAUUUUACUAAUAUUAAAAUCUAUUAACCCAAACAUUUAUUUCAAUGUUUUUUAAAUACAAAUUAAAAUAAAUAAAAUAAUUUACAUUUUGAAAUUUAUUAUAAAUAUUACAAAGUUAAAUUAGUAUUAUUAGUCGGUUAAAUAGAUUUAUUGUUGUUGUUGCCGCAACAUUUUACACUGUCGUUUAGUUAAAAAUGUUUUUGAAAUAUUUAUGAUAUGAAUGUCAAAAAACAGUCACAUCCAUCUACUCAUAAUUACAAAAUAUUUGCAUUUUUCACUCACACACAAUGUAUUUUGUGUAUUUUAUUAAGAUCAUAACGAUUUUAUUUUUUUAAAAAACACCAAAUGUAUGAAAGAAGUUUAAUAAAAACAAUUUUUUUAAAACAAUUCUAUUGGUAGGAAAAUCUAAUUGAGUAAAACUAAUACAAAAUUUAAUUGUUUUGAAUGCUCAACACAAUCCAUUUCUCAAUUAAGAAUAAAUUUUUAGAUAUUAGAGGAAACUAAAUAUAAAUUAAAUUUCUAUACCAAUUUAUUAGCAUUAUAGUGCACUUUGUUAUUGCCCUAACAUUUUAGUUUCCUAACAUUUUAAUUAUCAUCAUUCCCAAAGUCAGGAAUAUUACCUUCAAAGAGAGGCAAUGGAGGAGGAAUACCUUCGGACACUUGAGCGAGAUGGACACUCAGAUGUAGGUCAUUAUGAGCCAAAAAUUCAUUAAUCAUGCCAUCUUGCUCAAUCAGUCCAUCUAGCUCACUGACGUCAUUCCCAAAGUCAAGAACAUUACCUUCAGGGAGAGGCAAUGGUGGAGGAACAGCUACGGCGGAAAUUGUUUUAUUUAAAUUAUUGCAUUUUAUUUUGCUGCUCCUAUUUGUACGUGUGCUUAUGUUUGUUCUUUGAAAUAAAAAGAGAAUCGUGUGGUUUUAAAGAUUUAUUAUUAUAAUUUUUAAAUGUAUAAAAUCGUCAAAGUAAUAAAUUUAAAUGUUGUGUAUUUUAUGCAUAUCAUAUUUAAAGUAUCUAAUAUUAAUAUUCAAUUCAAACUCAAACACAGAGAACAAUUUGGCAUGCGUCUAUUAUGUUUCAUAUUGUUUUGAUUUAUGUAGUGUCCUAAAUUAUAUUUAGUGCUGUCCUAUGAUUUGCGUAGUGUAAGGUUGAAUUCAAAUAAUUAAAUUAAUUUAUAAUAAAAUUAAAUGUUCUAACAUUAAUCAAUUCACUACUAGAUAUUUAAAAUAAUUUUAUUUAUAAACCUAAACCACAUAUUGCAAACUCAAAAUUUUAAAGAUAUAAUACGAAACAAUGAAAAUAACUAAACAAAGUAAGUCUUAAUGCUUAACCUCAAAUUUAGUUCAAUAAAAAUUUAUAUAAGUAUCUAAAAUAAGGAUUUAAAUCUUAUUAAAAAAAAGGGGUAAAGAUAAAGGCUUGAGUAAGUUUUAAUAUGUGAUGCUAAAGCCAAGGUCUAGUUGCAAUGAUAAUAAGUAGUCUUUAUAUAGAUUUAUCAAUAUUAAAAGCUAUUAAUCCAAAGAUUGAUUUUAAUAUUUUAUGGUAAAUGAAAAUAAAUAUCCCAAAUACAUACAUUUUGAAAUUGUUAUAAUAUUUCUAAUUUGUCAAAUAGAUUUUACUAAUAUUAAAAUCUAUUAACCCAAACAUUUAUGUAAGUAUUUUUAUAAAUACAAAUUAUAAUAAAUAAAAUAAUUUACAUUCUGAAUUUUAUUAUAAAUAUUACAAAGUUAAAUUAGUAUUAUUAGUCGGUUAAAUAGAUUUAUUAUUAUUGCUGGUAUUGUUGUUGUUGUUGUUGCAACAUUUGGCAUUGUCGUUUAGUCAAAUGCUUUGGAAAUAUUUAUGAUAUGAACUUUAAAAUGCUAUGGCAUCUAUCUACUUACAAUUACAAAAUAUAUGCAUUUUUCACUCACACACAAUGUAUUAUGUGUAUUUUAUUGAGAUCAUCAAUGAUUAAAAAAAAACAAAAAACGCCGAAUGCAUGAAGAAGUUUAAUAAAAACAAUUUUUUCCCCUAACAAUUCUAUUGGUAGGAAAAUCUAAUUGAGAAAACUUAAUACCAAAUUUAAUUUUUUUAGUACUCAACACAAUCUAUUUCUUAAUUAAGAAUAAAUUUAUUUUAGAUAUUAUAAGAAACUAAAUGUAAUUAAAUUUACAUACCAAUUUAUUAGCGUUAUAGUGCAAUUUGUUAUUGCCCUUCCAUUUUAAUUUUACUUGCAAUUUCUCCUCGCACACCACUCCCACACUAGUCACAAAUUAACAGCCCAAUGCAUAAUUUAUCAGUUCUAUUACCGCCUAGGAAUUGAUCUUGGCUGGUGUAUAAAUUAGGAAUGGCAAUAAAAUCCGAACACGGAGAAUUCAGAUGUAGACAGUUGAGAUCCGCACGGAUCUUGAAUAUCAAGCAUUUGAUUAAAUUUUGUUUUAAAUUAAAUAUUUUAUUUUAUUUAUAGAUUUAUGAUGUCGUUGUAUAUUAUUCGUGUUGAAUUAUUAAUUGUUGAAUUAUGAUUAAAUUUUAUUUGAUAUUAUUAGGUAAAUUAUUGAAUUUUUAAAUUAUAUAUUAAAUUAUUAAAUUAUAAUUUUUACAAAUUUGGAUAUAUGGAAUACCCGCCACAUCCGGAUCCACAUUAUUUUUUACGGAUCCGAAUAUAAAAAUGUAAAUGCGGAUCCGAAUUCAAAUGCACCUAUAUCUUGAUCCGCAUCCGGAUUCAAAUUUUGCCAACCCUAAUAAAUAAGCAAGCAAUGCAUAAUUUAUCAUGUUUCCUCUUUAGAUUGUCAAUUAAGUUUUAUUUAAAUUCCUGCACUUUGUUUUGUAUGUGUGCGCUUGUUUCUUCUAAGUAGAGAGACGCGUGGCUUAAAGAUUUAUUAUUAUCAUUUUUAAAUAUAUAGAAUUGCCAAAUUAAUAAAAUCUAAAUGUUUUGUAUUUUAUGCAUAUCAUAGUUUGGAAUGCCUAUAUUAUAUUUCAUAUUGUUUGUGAAUCGUAUAGUGUAAGAUUGGAAUCAAAUAAUUGAAUUAACUUAGAAUAAAAUUAAAUAUACUAUUUUCAUGUAUUAAUUGUUAGAUAAUUAAAAUAAUUUUAUUUAUUAACAUAAACAACAUUUUGCAAAUUCAAAAUUUUAAAAUAUAUAACACAGAAUGACAAAAUAUUAAAAAAAAUAAUUUUAUUUAAAUCUUAAAAAAAGGUUAUGGAUAAAGUAUUGACUUUUAAUAUAUGAUGUUAAAUCAAAGGUUUAACUUCAAUAGUAAGAACUUCUAGAACUCACCACAUAAGUCUUUGGUUCAAGUUUCAACAGGUAAGUGAGUUAAGAAAAAAAGAAAAAGACAAUGGUUAUAUUGGAGGUAUUUUAUUGUGGAGUAUUUUUUUGUAACCAUAUGAUUAAAGUGAUAAAUAAUAAAAAAUAUAUUAUAAUUUUGGUCGUAUGAUUAUGAAGGAGUGUUUUACGACAAAGCAUCUCCACCGUAGUCAGACCUUAAAGAAAAAAAAAUGUGAUGCUUAUGAUAAAAUAUUAAUUUUUAAAAGAAUUUACUACUAUCAUUGUUGUUUUCGUUGCUUUCCAGAUAGUCAUUUUGUUUAAUGUUUUUGAAAUAUUUAUCAUAUGAAUGUCAAAAAGUAAUGUAUCUAUUGACAAAAACAAAACUAUUCGUUUUUAUCCACAUACAACAUCAAUGCUAAAAGAAGGCCCAAUGAAUGAGAAAAGUUUAAUAAAAACAAUUUUUUUCUAACAAUUUAUAAUGGCAUAAAAAAUUAAUUGACAAAUGAUCAUAUCAAAUUUAUUUUUUUCUAGAUAUUUGUGGUACAUACAAUUUUUUUCUCAAUUAAUAAUAAGUAUAUUUUAGAUAUCAGACGGAAUUAAAUCUAAAUUAAAUUUAUAUACAUUAAACAAAAUAUACUCCCUUUUCAUUUCCUCACUCUUUUUUAUUCUCUCAAGUUUCAAGUUUGUCGUUGAAUUAGAUUUGUAAAAAUCCGACCAACCCAUUACUGAAUUAGGGAGUUAUGAUAAUUGAUUUUCUCUAUUUAUCUCAACACUGCCCAAUUUCAAUUAAUCUCAUGGUGUAUAAAUUAGGAAUGGCAAUAAAAUCCGAACACGGAGAAUUCAGAUGUAGACAGUUGAGAUCCGCACGGAUCUUGAAUAUCAAGCAUUUGAUUAAAUUUUGUUUUAAAUUAAAUAUUUUAUUUUAUUUAUAGAUUUAUGAUGUCGUUGUAUAUUAUUCGUGUUGAAUUAUUAAUUGUUGAAUUAUGAUUAAAUUUUAUUUGAUAUUAUUAGGUAAAUUAUUGAAUUUUUAAAUUAUAUAUUAAAUUAUUAAAUUAUAAUUUUUACAAAUUUGGAUAUAUGGAAUACCCGCCACAUCCGGAUCCACAUUAUUUUUUACGGAUCCGAAUAUAAAAAUGUAAAUGCGGAUCCGAAUUCAAAUGCACCUAUAUCUUGAUCCGCAUCCGGAUUCAAAUUUUGCCAACCCUAAUAAAUAAGCAAGCAAUGCAUAAUUUAUCAUGUUUCCUCUUUAGAUUGUCAAUUAAGUUUUAUUUAAAUUCCUGCACUUUGUUUUGUAUGUGUGCGCUUGUUUCUUCUAAGUAGAGAGACGCGUGGCUUAAAGAUUUAUUAUUAUCAUUUUUAAAUAUAUAGAAUUGCCAAAUUAAUAAAAUCUAAAUGUUUUGUAUUUUAUGCAUAUCAUAGUUUGGAAUGCCUAUAUUAUAUUUCAUAUUGUUUGUGAAUCGUAUAGUGUAAGAUUGGAAUCAAAUAAUUGAAUUAACUUAGAAUAAAAUUAAAUAUACUAUUUUCAUGUAUUAAUUGUUAGAUAAUUAAAAUAAUUUUAUUUAUUAACAUAAACAACAUUUUGCAAAUUCAAAAUUUUAAAAUAUAUAACACAGAAUGACAAAAUAUUAAAAAAAAUAAUUUUAUUUAAAUCUUAAAAAAAGGUUAUGGAUAAAGUAUUGACUUUUAAUAUAUGAUGUUAAAUCAAAGGUUUAACUUCAAUAGUAAGAACUUCUAGAACUCACCACAUAAGUCUUUGGUUCAAGUUUCAACAGGUAAGUGAGUUAAGAAAAAAAGAAAAAGACAAUGGUUAUAUUGGAGGUAUUUUAUUGUGGAGUAUUUUUUUGUAACCAUAUGAUUAAAGUGAUAAAUAAUAAAAAAUAUAUUAUAAUUUUGGUCGUAUGAUUAUGAAGGAGUGUUUUACGACAAAGCAUCUCCACCGUAGUCAGACCUUAAAGAAAAAAAAAUGUGAUGCUUAUGAUAAAAUAUUAAUUUUUAAAAGAAUUUACUACUAUCAUUGUUGUUUUCGUUGCUUUCCAGAUAGUCAUUUUGUUUAAUGUUUUUGAAAUAUUUAUCAUAUGAAUGUCAAAAAGUAAUGUAUCUAUUGACAAAAACAAAACUAUUCGUUUUUAUCCACAUACAACAUCAAUGCUAAAAGAAGGCCCAAUGAAUGAGAAAAGUUUAAUAAAAACAAUUUUUUUCUAACAAUUUAUAAUGGCAUAAAAAAUUAAUUGACAAAUGAUCAUAUCAAAUUUAUUUUUUUCUAGAUAUUUGUGGUACAUACAAUUUUUUUCUCAAUUAAUAAUAAGUAUAUUUUAGAUAUCAGACGGAAUUAAAUCUAAAUUAAAUUUAUAUACAUUAAACAAAAUAUACUCCCUUUUCAUUUCCUCACUCUUUUUUAUUCUCUCAAGUUUCAAGUUUGUCGUUGAAUUAGAUUUGUAAAAAUCCGACCAACCCAUUACUGAAUUAGGGAGUUAUGAUAAUUGAUUUUCUCUAUUUAUCUCAACACUGCCCAAUUUCAAUUAAUCUCAUUUAUUUUAAAAAAAAAAUUUCUCAUUAAAAUUAAAAACAAAUAUUAAUUUUUUUAACUUUUUUUCUUUUUCUCCCUUUUUCUAGAAUCACCACUAUACCCAUGUCAUCAUUAGGUGAUUUCGUUUAUGUGGAAUGUGUUUUGUUGUUUAAUUUUCUGAUUUUUGAUCUGGGUAUUCUUGAUGUGGAUACAUUCAUCAGAAAUGAGAUUGCGUUGUGGAAAUUGUGUUGUGAAUGCUUCACUAAUUUGCUCACCUUCUGAAUUGCUUGUAUUUCGAAUUUUUAUUUGCUGAUUUGAAUGAUUGCUUUGGUCAAUGGGCUUUAGAGUGAAGAUCUGGUCUUUUGGGCUGAAACUGGUUUUAUUUUGCUUUCUUGCUAAAUUGACUUUGCUUUAUUCACUUGCUCUCUUCAGAGGUUAUUAUUAUUUUUUUUUUCCCGGUUCCUUUAGAUAUCAUGAUCUGCCUAUUUUUCCCGGGAAGAGUGUUAUAUAUUGCUAAAUUAGAUGUUUUUCCCGUUAAAAUAAUAAAAUUCAGUUUAAUGGGUAUGAUGUUGAUUGCUAUACUAGAAAAAAAAAAUGCAUAUGAAAGAGGAAAGAAAAAAAUUAAAAAAUAAAUAUUUAUUUUUAAUUCUUAAAAGUGUAAUUUUGCAAAUAAAUAACAUUAAUUAGAAAGUGAGGGUUGCUAAUAAAAGUUGUAGAGUCAAAUAUCACUACACUUGAUUGGGUUGAGAAAAAUUAACUCAAUCCAACCAAAUAAACAUAUCCAACUCAAUCUAAUCUAACUCUUAAAUCAUCGGGUUGGGUUAAUUAGGUUGAUAAAAAUUAAAAAUUUAGAAAAUUCAAAUAUAAAAGUUGAAAAAUAUUCUGUGUUUAAAAUAAAAUUCACAUUAUUAAAAAAAACACAUUAAUUCUCUAUCAUAACAUUAAAUGUUGUCCAUUGGUGCCCAACGUUUAUUAAUAAACAACAUGAUGUUAUAUUUAAAUACAUGUUGACUUACUUUUUAGUGAAAAUUCGUGGUUUGAUUUCUAAUUUUUGUAUUUAGAAAAUUUAAUCAAUAUUAGGUUAAUAGAGAGAAAUUGAAAAGAAUCUCUUUUAUAAAAGAAUAAAAAUAAUCUAAAAUUAGAUUUAGCUCUUUAGGGCUUCACAGCUAAUAGCUGACAUUAUUUUUGCCUAUCGUUUUUAUUAUUCUUGAUUUGGGUGGGGUUGGAUUCAUUUAAAAAAUUAAUCCAAUCAAUCUAUAUAAAUUUAAUUAAAUUGGAUUGGAUUGAGUUCACCCACUCCUAUAUGCUGUGACAGUCAAUUUGUUAUUGGAACAUUAAAAAGUUAGGCUGUGAGGGUUUGUGGGGUGGUGCAUACCGCAUAGUGACUUGCGAAGCCAACCUCCACCUUUUCAAGUCUGUGAUUGUAUUCCCUUGAUAUAAGUUACCAAAAAUCUUAUGAAUUUUUUUUUUUCAUCAACUCCAAUUUUUGUUAUAAAUAAAGUAUGCCUCUCUAGCUAAUUACCAUAAUUUCGUUUAUGCGUGUGUUGAUUUGAUGCAGGAGUGCCCUUUCUUUACUACUACAAUGGCGUGUUCGUCCCUCUCAUUAUGUAUCUAUAUAAAUGUGACUAAGUGGGUUUAUGCGAAGUGAGAAUUAUGAAUUAAGUGGAUUUAUGUACCCUUUUUCACAACUUAUCAGGUAAUAUAAGUAAUGCACUUUUUGCUUAAUUGAAUGCCUCUAUUUUAGCUAGUUGUGGGUAAAAGUUGAUAAUAUAUUUAUAAACAUAAUUAUUAAAACUUAAUAAAUUUAUGUUCAAUUAUAUUAUUCUCUCUCUCAAAAUCAUUUUCUGUUUAUAUCAACAAAUUAUAUUAUUAAAAACUUCUCGUUCCAUUAAUAUGAAAAGAGAGGAAUAAUAAGCUAGUGCGGUUGAAAAAAAUCAACCGUAGGGUUUAAGCGAUGUGUAUAGCCCGGUUGUUAAUCAAGUUCACUAAAAUCAUAAAAUUGUCACUCGCAUAAACAUAAACAUUUAGCCUUCUUUCUAAAAACUUAAUUUACCUUUUCCCCAUUAUAGUAUUUUUUAUUGAAUUGUAUUUUUGUUUUUCUACUAUACUUUUUCAAAGCAUUCUUACUUAUACUCUAUUGUUUUUUUGUUUUUCAGGUUUAAUAAGGAAAGAAAUUGAUGUAGUUCGUUCAGUCUUUUUCAUUUUGGUUUCUAUUUGGUUACUGGAAACAUUUCUUUUUAAGGUUUUCACACAAACAUUUGUAUUAAAAAAAAGAGAGAGAUUAGAAACAAAUUCAGUAGUGUUUAUAAUAUCUCUUCUUUUUAAAUGUUUUUGUUGAUGUAGAAAUUUGGUCGUUUGGUUGCGACCAGGUGCCUAUGCCAACAGUUGAAUUUUGUUUUUAUGGAAGACGGUACUUGCUCGCACUUACUUCCCUCGAGCAAACACGAAUGACCACGUGCACUUCUUGCAGAAUUUACUUUUGUUUACAAAAACAAUUGGGGCAUAAGCUUUUCUCUCUUGCAGCUUGAUUCUAAUUAUUUUAGAAAAAAGUACUUAAAAAGGAAAUCUCAAAAAAAUUGAAAAAGUUCUCAGAAGUGGAAAAGAGAAAAAAAAAAGUAGAAAACCCUUAGAAAGAGAGAAAAUAUUUAUUAGAUUUUGAAUUUUCUAGAUUCUUUUAUAGAGAAUCGAAACUCCCGUUCCUGGAUAAAGGGGAGUAGUCGUUAGUUGAUUAGAAUCGUGGCCUGAUCUUUUGGAGAGAAUCUUCGAGUUGACUCUUGAUCAAAUCUUUAUGUUGACUCCACUUAAGUCAUCUCCUUGCAAAAUCCUAAUGCAAGCUUGCCUAUGUAUGAGCAGGCCUGCAAAGCAACCUGCCAGCUAUAUGAUGACUAAAACAGACUAUUUCGAAGCUCAUUUGGAUCCCAUCUUGAGAGAGGCAACUACUAACUCUAAGAUCGAGGAGAGCAUGAUUUGCAUGGAAUUAUGUUCAAUCAUGCUCCCUCUUUGAUCCACCAAACAUCAGUCCCCUAGUUUUAGUGUUGCGAUUGUAACGAAUCAAGACUGAAAAACUUAAAUUGUUGUGUUCAGACCAACACCUCCAGCCAUUCGUCUUGAAAAACAUUAAGCUACAAAGGUUGCUCUUUUGCAAGAUCUCAUCUCAACCCACUUCGUGAAGCAGUUAACUGCAAUAAUAGCAUAAGCAACUGCUCCUCAUCCUUUUGGUAAUGGUCCGAUCAGGUCAAUCUCCUACUAUGCAAAUGUAUAUGGCAAGGAAACUAUGGUGGGCUUCUCUGGUGCUUGUGUCGGAUAACAGGCAUCUUAAUAAUUUUUACAACACCUGGUUUUCUUUUGAGCGUCUUGGUGCAUCAUUGGCCAAAAAUACGCUUGCUUAAGACCUUAAAUACUAAAGAUCUCACCCUCGAGUAAUUUCACAGAUCCUUUCACGAAUCUCCCUCAGUACAUAAUCUGCUUUAUCUUCAUCUAAGCAUUGGUGGAAAGGCAAUGUAUAUCCCCACCUAUACAAUGCCCCGUCAAUCAAUGUGUACCUAGAUGUUUAGAGCUUGAGAUUUCUUGCGACAAUAUUCUAUCUCGAAUGUAUGAGAUUAUCGGAGCAAUCCAUGAGCUCUGCUCGUCUAUCCUUAUCACAUUUGCUCCUUGCUUAAUGUUUGGGGAGGUUUUGACUUCCAUUGGAACUGACUUAGGCAUUCUCACAUAUGACAUAGCAGCCAUUCUUGCCAGGAUAUCUGCUCAGAAAUUUUGUGCUCUUGAAAUUUACUCGAUUUCAACAACCUCGAAUUUCUUCAUUAUUUGCCUAGUCUUCCUCAAAUACAACUCCAUCUUCCACAUUACUCAAAUCAAGAGUAGGUUGCACUUUUUCUUUAAAAAUCUUAGAUAGAUUAAUAAUCUUAUCGUCUUUUAUUUCACAACUGCAAAAGAGAUGAUCCGACAUCAUUACAAUGAACAAAGUGGUCUUCCAUUAAUUGUCUUAUAUCAAACCAUCUUUGAUUUCUUCUUGCCUUGUCGAUGAGACAGUUUGAAGAAAAUCAUCUAUCAUGCAUAUCUAGUCAAAAAUAUCAUUAAAAUUACCAUCAAAAUAUGGAUAUCUUCGAUGAACUCAAUAUUCUAUUUGUAUCAUUUUUCCCUCAAAUUAAAAAUACAAACAAUGGAAAAAUUGUAAAUAAGGCUCAACUCUUGGGUUUAGUGUGGCUAGGGGCUGGUGGUCGUGAUUUAGACUAUUGAUGAUCGGAUCUAAUGGAUAUGGUGGUAAUAAAUGCAAGGGUGACGCCAAGUUGAAUAGAAUAAUUGUGAUUUGGUUGGAAAACUAACUUAAAAUGGCGACUGUGGUGCUUGGUUGCAUUUUCACUGCGACUAUUACGUCGGCUAAUCGGAUCUGGUGGUGGCUUGGAUUAGAUGUACAGCAAGAGGGGAGUUCGAUGAUGGUGUUGCUCGUUGGUAAAGGAGGUUGGUUUCGCAGCGGCGACUGAUGAAGAGCUUGCGAGUUUUGGGUUAUUCACGUGAUGGCUACACGGUUGAUCAACGACAAAGGACGGUCGGGUUUUUGUCAGUGACUGGUGGAGGUUAGAGUUUUGUAGAUGGUGGAGGUUAGGGUUUUAUAAUUUUGAGAUUUUCAUUUUUUUCUAUUUUUAUUUUUUUAAUUUUUUUGGAUAAACAAUGAUGGAUUUGGUGAAGAUGGCUAUGGCCUAUGGGUAGCCAGAAAAGCAGUGAAAUUGUUACAGAAUCACUCAAAUAACAACUAAUGAAACGAAAACCUUAAAGGUUAAAGGUGGAUGAAACAAAAAUUUCUAAAUAAUAAAGUUUAUUGAAUAAUUUUGAAUUGACAAGGUUAGGGUUUUGGACCUUUAUAUAACAACCCUAAAUAUUACAAAUUUACCAAAAUAGACAAAUCUGAAAUAUUAUUUUAUAAUAAAAUUCUCCUAAUCUAAAUUAGAAAAGGAAAACAAAUGGUGUCUAAAUUUGAUUUCUUAAAAAAAGAUAAAAAUUCUAAAAGAAAAAGAAAAAAUAGGAAAUAUUUUAAAACUAGAAAAUAACCAAGAAAAAAGUGAAAAUUUUGGCUCAAUCAUGGGGCAAAAUGGCAUAAGCAUUUUAGGUUUUUUUGGUCUUGUCACAAGCUUUGAAACGAGAUAUUAUAUGCCGAAAACUAACACUUAAAGCUCAAGUUAUGCCCUCUUAAAGGUACCCCGCUCAUAACACACAACCAUCCUACAUCAUUCAACUUUGGCUUGUCUUACAAGUAACAAAUUUAAGCCGCCAUGACCUUUGCAUAUCAAAUGGUUGAAUUAUUUGAGAUUUAUUUGUGCAAUACACUUUGUUGGCUCACACAUCUACAAAGAGGAAAAUUCAGUGGCUGAUAGUGUUACUAAUUAAUUUGGGAUUAAAUCUUAAUGCUUAUAAUUGAUGGAAUAAUCCUCAUAUUUCAAUUUAUUAGAGCUUGCAUGAGAAUGCUUGGGGUCCCCCUAAGUAUUGUUUGAAAUGAGUGAUUUUGUAUUCUUUCUUCUCCUUUUUUUUCUUUCCUUUUUCCUUAAUAAAUUGAAUGGAAAAUAUUUAAUAGUAUGUUGUAGGCCCCGUUACUUUUAGCUUUUGUUAAUAAAAACAGAAGUCAGCAUAUAAUAUGAUUUGUUGAUUUUAUUGGUACUGAAAGCUAAAGAUUUUGUGUAUAUAAUUGUGUUAAAAAAAAAAGUUACCAAUAGUAUCCCAUUUUUAAAGAUUUAUAAUGAUUGUUUUUCAUUUAAAAAUAGUGAAUUAUGAUUAUUAUUUUAAAUAAAGUAACUAAGAUUAGUGUUAAUUGAUUUUUUAUAUAUAUAGUAUAUUUUUAUUACAGGCACUUUUUUUUUUUCAUAUAGAUAUACUUUUAAACUGGAUGUUUUAAAAGAAUUAGUUUUUAAUACACAUGCUAUUUUAGCAAUUGGUGGGGACUUGAUGCCAAUUUUUUUUUUUUUUUUUUGGAUUUUGGAUCUUAAAACUAGGGUUUCUAAUGAAACAAGGGUCAAUUAUUGUUUGUAUAAUCAAAGUAUUGGCGAGAUGUUUUGUAAUGGAGGUAAUGUCUGUGGGAAAGGAGGUUUUUAUUGUGAUUAACACAGAUUUACAUAAUAAAGGGUAGCAGCAUAGCUGCCCCAAACGCUUGCAAAAACCAAAAUAAUUUUUUUUAAUUUAUAAGAAAGUAAACCUUUCAUUCAAUUAAGAACAAUAAUGUCCAAUACAAUUUGUAUUCUGCUGGAAAUGAUUCUUUCCAGACUGCAGAUGUAUCAUUCUCUAGAGCGAACUUCGCUAGAGAAUGGGCAUGGGCAUUACAAUCUUUAAGGACAAAAACAAAAUUAACAUAUUGAAAAUCCCUUGUGAGGUGCUGGAUAUCGGAAAUAAUCCAGUGAAUUGCUAUUCUGCUGCCCUUUGUGUUCUUAACAAGCUCCACCAUAUUCUUACAAUAUGAUCCAAUGAUCACAUAAGAUAGAGCUACAUUUUUUGCCACUUGAAGACCCCAUUCAAUUGCUUCAGCUUCUGCAAUACUUACAUUUUCCUGUAAAUAAGACUGGUUUAUACUAGCAGCUACAAUCUUGCCUUCUGAAUUGGUUAUAACUGCUGACAAUCCCACCUUCUUGUAUUGAUUGUUAGUGGCUACAUCAACAUUGAUUUUAAACACACCUUUAGGGGGAGGGAUCCACUUCUGCUGCUUUUCCUUUCUCAAGUUGUUAAUAUGAGUUGAUCCAGUUUGUCUCACUCUAUGACAAGCUUCCAACAUCGAUUAUGCCUUGCUUGCUGAAAUCUUACGAUCAAUUUUCUUGCCUUAAAAAAUAAACUUAUUUCUUGAGAACAAAAUUACCCAACAAUUAGCCACCAGAAGCUCAAUGUCAGUUUUUCUCCAAUUUUUGCAUGUCAUGGAUAGAACUGAAAAUGCCGAGAUAAGGAGCACUUUGAAACUGAACUGUAAAAAGGGCUAGACUCUAUAUCUUUUUUGCCGAUUUGCACUCCAUCAACGCAUGGCUUAUGGAUUCUACAAACUUGUUACAUCAAUGACAAAUUGGAUCUUGAAUAUACUUCCUUUUCCAGAGGUUUUCAGUUGUUGGCAAAAUGUUUUUUUUAUGCUUUCCACAUGAAAAUCUUGAUCGUCUUAGGCAAGUCAAGAGCCCAAAGUGUCUUUCAUUGACUGGAAUUGCUUUCUAAGCUGCUCGGUUCAUUUGGGGAAUUAAAUUUGAGGGCUUGCUGAUAUCCAAUUUUCACAGAGUACUCCCCUCUUUUAUCGAAAUCCCACAUCAACUCAUCUUCUUUUUGUCUUCUAAGGAAAGGGAUUCUAAGAAUUGCUUCUACAUCUUCUGGCAUGAAAUGUUGCUGCAACUUUUCUAAGUCCCAUUUGUUUUCCACAUCCAUAAUGUCAGCUACUACAGCUUCAGCCGGCAAGAAUGGGGAAGACAUUAGUUUAAAUGUAUCAGGCCUUGGGAUCUAUAUGUCCUUGUAAACUAGAAUGCUUAUUCCAUUUCCCACUCUUCAUCUGAUACCUUGGUUGAGCACCUGUCUUUCCCAUAGAAUGUUUCUCUAGACAAAAAAUGGAUUGGACCCUGCAUUUGCCUUAAAAAAAGUAGAGUUCCUAAAAUAUUUUACUUUUAAGACUUUGGACAUUAAAGAAUUAGGAAAUUGGAUAAUUCUCUAUCCCUGCUUAGCUACUAGAGAUUGAUUAAAACGGAUGAGAUCCCUAAAUCCUAGCCCACCUCUACUCUUUGUAAUGCUUAGCUUAUUCCACUUAGACCAAUGGAUUCCACUCUUGUCUUUUUUCGAACCCCACCAAAACUUUGUUGUGGCUCUUUGAAUGUCAUCGCAUAGACCCUUUGGAAGCCUGAAUACACUUAUCGCGUACGCUGGGACAGUUUAGGCUACGACCUUGAUAAAGAUUUCUUUCUCCUCACUUAAGAACCAUUUUUGUUGCCAACUUGUAAUUUUUCUUAUCACCUUGAGCUUGAUGUCAUUGAAGAAGCUUAAUUUCUUUCUGCCAAUCAUAGAAGGGAGACCUAAAUAUUUUUCAUACUUGGAGACAACAUUAAGAUUAAAGAUGCUCUUGAUUUCUGAUGUGAUACUAGCUGGAAUUUUGCUCCUAAAAAACAUGGAGGAUUUCUCGAAAUUGAAGAUUUUCCCUGAAGCCCCUACGUAGCAGUCAAAGAUCCCUUCAAAUGCUUGCAAUCUGACACUGAGGCCCUAGUGAAGACUAGGCUAUCAUCUGCGAAGAGGAGGUGGGUUAUUGUGAUCUCUUUAGCAAAUCUCAGACCUCUGAUCUGCAGCCUUUUUUUUUGCAUGCACUAAAAGACUUGAGAAAGCCUCUGCACAUAUAAUGAAGAGGUAUGGGGACAAGGGACAUUAUUGUCUAAUACCUCUUUCAGGGACUAUUAAGUUCUUUGGAAUAUCAUUUAUAAUUAUGGAAAAUGAAACAAUAGACACACAAUUCAUAAUCAAUUUUAUCUAUUUGUGAGAAAAGCCAAGCUUUACAAUGGUUUGAUUCAAGAAACUCCACUCAAUUCUAUUAUAGGCUUUACUAAUGUCAAGCUUUAAGGCCACUAACCCAUUUCUUUUCCCUAUACUAUGUCUAGUCUUGUGGAGGCAUUUGUAGGCAAUAAUGACAUUGUCUGUAAUGAGCCUAUUGGAUAUGAAUGCGCUCUGUGUUAGGUGUAUGAUUUCGGAUAGAAUUGGUUUCAACCUAUUGGCUAUAGCUUUGAAUAUAAUUUUGUAAAUCACAUUACACAAGUUAAUUGGCCUAAAUUCAGAGACUUUCCUAGGCUUUUCUGAUUUGGGAAUAAGGGCAAUAUAAGUAUAGUUGAAGGGGGCUAGAUUACUUUGGUCAUUUAGGAUGUGUAGGAAGGUAUCGAUUACCACUCCCCGAACUAAUAACCAGUGUUUCUGGAAAAAUGCAGCAGGUAAACCAUCUGGGCAUGGAGCCUUUAUUGGACAUAUUUAGGAUAAGGCAUUUUCUAUGUCCUCUAGAGUGAAAGGUUCUUCUAACUGAGCAUUUAAAUUUGGAGUUACCUUUGGCAGCAGUCCGUUUAAAGCUUCUUCAAUUCGGUUCUGGCUUGGCUUAGAUAAAGCGAACAUAGUCUGGAAAUAAUCACAGAAUUCCCUCUCAAUUUCUUUCUGACUAUCCAUCCAUUGCCCUUGAGCAUUUUCAAUUCCCCAUGUUUUAUUAUUUCUCUUCCGAGCAAUAGCUUUAGAGUGAAAGAAUUUUGUAUUUUUAUACUCUUCUCUUAGCCAAUCUGCUCUCGAUCUUUACUUAUAGUACACCUCUUCAUCCAUCAACAUGUUAUUGAUCUGGUUUUCAAUUUUUCUGAUCUCUACUCCAUCCACACACUGAGCUUGGUUCUGUUUAACAUUCUGCAAUUGCUCUAUCAGUUGAUCUAGUUUCAUCUUCCUACCAUCAAAUUCAUCUUUGCUCCAUACCUUCAAUUAAGGUAGGGACACUACAAGAAAAAAGGGAUUUAACAACGUGUAAUUUACGUUGUUGAAGGCAUUCAACAACACUCGCGUGCAUGCUGUUAAUGUUGAGGUUGUCUUAAGUUGAAUAUUUUCAACAACAUUCUCUGCGCGUUGUUAAAAGUUUUUUGCUUCUUGUUAAAAUUUAUUUAGCUACAUUCAAUAAAUGUGGCUAAAACCUUAUUUUGCUUGUAUAUUUUCAACAACAUGUAGACAACAGUUGCAAAUAACAUUUCGCUUUAAGAAUACACACACACAUUUUCAUUAAAAGCUCUACACGUUUAUUAAUAUACAAAUUAAUAAAACUAAUAAUAUAUUGAUAUAAAAGAUUCCAUUAACAUCCUCUUGUAAUUGUCAAUACAAUAUUCUUAACAAUUGUGAAAUGUACAAGAAUUUAAUAACGCAAAAUAGUAAUUCUUAUAGUAGUCUCUUUUUCUCAGUGGUAAUUGAUCAAAAUAUUACCAAAAACUCUCAACCAAAUCCAGUUCUUCAAUCUCUCCAUGAUAGCAUUAGCAAUAAACCUCAAAAUCUCCCAAAGUGAUCAAUUCCUGCACAAGCAAGACCAAAUUCACUAAACAUUGAAAAUAAUUUAACACAAGCAACUAAUAAAAAAAAAUCAGCAAUGGAUAUUACAGAGAUGAAUUUAGUUUUGGUACAAAAAUUUAAUUGAAUUGUGACAUGUUUUGUGAUAGGUUUCUUCUAUCAUAAAUUUGUAUUUAAAAUAAUUAUCAAAAGUUUUAAUUUUCUGUAAUUCUCUACAUUGUAAAAUUUAAAUUCUACAAUUGAUAUAAAACGAACAAAAAAUAAAAUACUAUCAAUCCAAAAAAUUUAUAAUAUUAAUAAUAUAUUAAUCCUCGUACAAAAUCUCAAACGCAUUAGAACAAAUGUAUAGUAAAAAAGAACUACAUCAACAAAAUGACAUUUAGUAAUCACCAUUCAAAUUCAACUUGCAACUUAAGUUUCCCAUUAACCUCAAGAAUACAAGGGCGGUUGGUCGUGCCACAAGUGUCGUAACUCCAAAUGCUAUUCCUGUUAAGAUAAAAUAGGUAAAAAUGAAAAUUCAAAUUAAAGGAACAAUACCAUUUAACUAUCAUCGAGGAAUGAUGCAUUAAAUAGGCUUAAACUUCUGACAGUGGCUUACAUUUUUCAAGAAACUACAUGAUAUGUAAUGACAUUCUGAUAUGGUUUGAAAUACAACUAUCAAACUUCAGUUAUUUGAAACAAUGAUUAAUUUAUUUUGGAAAAAAAGAUAAAUCAAACUUCAGUUAUUUGAACCAAGAUCACAAUUAAAAACCUAUAGUAUUUGUUGCGUGCCAUGACUUUUAAUUCAAUAGAAUGACUGAAUUAAAAAACCAUUAAAAGUAAUUAAAAAAGAAUUAAACUUCCACUGAUUUCACACCAAUUCCACCUGCAACUAGUCUGCCAACUUCUCUGCAAGUGUAACAAAUAAAGCAAGUUCUGAUAAAACCAACAAUAAUAAGAAAAAUAAUAAAAGUAUGAAGUUAUAAUUACACAUGAAUAGAGUAAUGGCUCAUGUAGUCAGAAUACAAUGAAGAGUCCAAAAUCCACCAAUUAAUUAAUUCUAGCCUCAAUUUCAUCACUGGAAGCAUGGGGACAACUGAACUGAGGUUUCCACGAAGGUCUUAAGCCAUGCAGGAAUUAGAAGCUAUUAAUUAUAUUUUAUAUGUCUACUUGUCACAUGUUGAUAUAAACAAGAAUAGAGAGAAUAGAGAGAAUAGAGAUGUAGAUUAAAUGAUACCUCAGCAGGAACCAUGGGUGCAUUUACAGCCGUAGCAGCUAGCUCCCAUUUCAGGGUCCCAACAAUAGCUUCUGAUAUUUCAAUGGGCAAACCUUCCUGAUAUGUAUUUAUUGAUAAAGCAUAUAUACCUGUGCCUCCAUAGUGCUAGCACCAAGAUGUGGAAUCCCAGCGAGGUUUCUUUUCUUCUUAGGUGGCUACUGCAGCUAAAAUCAGAAAAUAAUAAUACCAUCAAAUUUGAAUUAACAAAUUAACUAGAUAUAUUAGAAAUUAAAUACCUCAAAAACCGAAUCUAGAUCAAGUGAGGAAUCGGCUGGUGGUCGCGAAUUGGGAAAUGUUGAGGUUUUAAUUGGGGGAAUUCGAGAUAAAGUGAAAGAAAUAGAGAACUGGGAGGCAAAACGAAACUGACCAAACUAGGAGAGAGUGAAAACUGCGACAGAGUGAUGAGCCAAAGGCGAGUAAAUCCUGACUAUUCAUUGCAAGAACUUUGACGCGACGGCAACGGACUAUGUUUCCUCAACAAUACAUCGAACGCGACAGCAAUGGGCUAGGGUGUUCAAACAAUAUUACCAGCAUGGCAGCAACAUACUUGAACGGUGAUAAAACGACACUGUUUUCUCGACUGAUUGAGUGCAGGAUUGAUUUUUUAGGGUUUGGCCUUGAGAGAGUGAUGGGUGUUUGGGUAAGAGUGUUAGAUGGAGAGAGUGCUCGCGAACUGGGGGUAUAAACAUUAGGGAGGAGCAUUGGUCAUGAACGUUAAACGCACCGUUUUUGUUUCACAUGUAUAUAUGUUAAAAAGAAUUCCAUUUUAAAACACAUUUCGUUCUUUGUCUCGUAUUUUUAUUUUUUUAAUUUUACAAUAAUUAAUUAAAUUUUUUAUAUUUUUUUUACUAAUUUAUUAACAAUCAAAUAAGUAAUAUUUAGUAAUAACAAAAAGGCAAAUAGAUAAUGUGAUUAUUGAUUGGCCAUUUCAAAUUAAUAUUUGAUAAUUUAGUUGAAUUAAUAUAUAGAUAAUUAAAUACUAAACAAACUCUAUUAGCGGCAUAACAUUUAUCUAUUAUUUAAUUGGAUUUUACUUAAUACAAAAUAGGAUUACAAAAUCUGAAAUCUACUCUAAUAAGUAUUUAUCAUUUAAUUAAUAUAUUCAAAUUUUGAAUACCAAAUCCUAAACUUUUAAAUUGAAUUAUUAUAUAAAAAAUCACUUAUUAUAUGAAAUUAGUGCUUUGUUAUUAUUAUUUUUUAGGCUUUGUUACUAUUAUAGACGUAAAAAUGGUAAUAAAAAUAAUCAAGUGAUUAACAAAAUAUUUCACAACAUACUAAGAAGCAUGCUGUUGAACAUAAAUAACAACGAGCAAAAGAAAGUUGUGAUAUAUUUUUAUUAACAACGUAACCUAUUUGAAUGUUGCUGAAGAUAAAACUUUUAACAACGUACUUAGUUUGUGCGUUGUCAUUUGGUUUAUGAAAUCCACCACAAACAUAAAAUUAUUGUGAUAAUGUGUUUAACAACGUGCCAUUACGCACGUUGUUAAUGGUAAACUUUUAGUAACUUUUAGCAACAUACGAUCCUAAAACGUUGUUCAAUACCAUAUUUUACAACAAGCAUAGCAUGCAUGUUGCUGAAUUCCUGUUGUCUUAUCUCAUUUUUCUUGUAGUGGGAUCUUUUAGCCACUCUUUGGAACUGCUGUACAAGGUUCUCUCAAUCCUUGUCACCUAGAUUAACCAUUCAUCCCACACAAUAUUUUUACAUGCUUCAUAGCUACUCCCCAUAUCUUCAUAGUGAUCUCGAGGGAAUGAUCUUUUUAUACACUUAUCUUUCUUGCUUUUGUCUCUUAAAAAAUGAUUGGGCAGUGAUCUGAGGUCCAGUUAACCAAAUUUGUUUUAGAGAGCUCCUGAAAAUUAUUGAUCCAAUCCUUACUACAGAGGAAUCUAUCUAAUCUUUCUUCAAUGAGAUUUGGCCCGAAUCUCUUAUUUGACCACGUGAAUUGGCUUCCUUUAUAACCCAUAUAAAUUAAGUUGCAAGCUUGAAUAGUUUCUCUAAAAUCAGCCAUCAUGGUUAAAUUUCUAUCAUUUCUUCCAGCCUUCUCAUACAAGUGCAGAAUUUCGUUGAAAUCACCAAAGCAGCACCAAGGGUAGGUAAAAAGACUUACUAAUCUUUCCAAGAGGGUCCAAGUAUGAUGCUUCUGAUUAGAUUUGGGAUGACCAUAGAUACCCGUGCCUCUUCAUAGCCUACCAUUAUCAUUUUGCACCACUGCAUCUAUAUAGUGAGAGCAAUAGGAUUUUAUAUCGACAAUUACAUUUGAAUUCUAGAAUAGAGCCAGACCUCCUCCCAUUCCUUUUCUAUCAACUAUAAAACGAUUCCCAAAAUUAAAAUUCCUAUAAAUUGAGUUUAUUUGCUGAGCAUCCAUCUUUGUUUCACAACAAAAGAAAAUUUUAGGCUGUUGUAGCUGAAACUACUAGGUGCGUUGGAGGCCUCCCCAGACCUCGAACGUUCUAGCUUAAUAUUUUCAUAGCUGCCAGCGAGGCUGACAUUCAGCUCCCGCCGGUGUAUCCUCCACCAUAGCUUCAACAUCCGCUCUUUCACCUUGCUCUGCAUCUGAUAACUUCAGCUGGAAUUUUAUUUGAGAGGGAAUAAAUUGGUUCCAGUGCUUACUGAUUUUAAUGGGCUGAUGAGUCUUUUUUUCUUGCUUUCGAGACUCGGCCACAUGAGCUCACUGUUGGGCCUUUUUGAAUUAAUAAGCCCAUUGUGACUUUAUUUUUUCCGUUUUUAAGUUUCUAGCCUGAAGCUUCCAUUUUCUGGUCUUGCGCUUCACCUUGGCUUUAUCAGGCCCAUUAUCUACUUCUUCCUCAUCUGAAUUUGAUAGCCCAUUAUCAGAGUUUCUUUGGCUUCCCUCUCUUGCUUCAUUUUCCCUUCAAAUCUCCUUUCUUGCCCUUGAGUUGUUGUUUCUACGGGGGCUGUCAUUGCCAACCCUUCUAGUAUGCCCGUUGCUGAUCUCUCUGUACUCUUUCUGAACUUCUGGUUGCAGUUUUUUGGCUUUUUAAUGCUAAGCAUUAAUGAUGCAUCAUCGUUCUUUAGCCCAUGGCUUGUACCCUUUGGUUCAACCAUAUUACCCAUCUUAUUGCCUGUUUUGUCUAGAUUGGCUACCAUGGUGCUCACUCUCAGCUGGGAUUGAUCCUGUUUUCCUUUCUCCUUCAUUCGACUCUGUUUUGUCCUUUUUACAUACGUGAUAACUCUUAUUCAUCCUUCAUACAGCUGGCCUUUGUACUUCAAACAUUCCCUGUCUUGAUGGGCUAUGUGCACACUACAAAAAUAAAAAUCUGGUAAUUUUUCAUAUAGGACUGGCAUUGAUGGAGAUUCUAACUUGAGCAAAUGGACCCAUACAUUCACAUGCAUUAUCUGUUUCAAUGUCCUCUACCUUACCAAUCUUCUCCCCAAACUUCAGAAUAGCCUCUUUCUCCAUACACAUUAUGGGUAUGUUGUGAAUAUGUACCCAAAAUGAUGUAUGUGUAAAGGACUAUUCAUUUAUAUCUACAAUGCUGCUCAGUUCAUAUAGCACUAGUAAUGCUCUGUCGAAAUGCCAUAGACCUCCCAUAAGGACCCUCUUCUUUUCCCCUUCAGACGCAAACUUGAACAGAAAGAUAUUGUCCCCUAUGCUUUCAAUUUUUACUUCCUUAAUUGUUCUCCAGGCCAGUUGCAUUGCUGCCUUUAAUCCAUCUCUGUUGACCCCUCUUGUGAGUAAAACCUUCCCCACUAAGCUAUUUGCCGCAAUUUUGUCUCCUUUUAUCUUUAUUCUUCCCAUAAAAGUGACAAUGUCUUCCUCUUCCUCUUUAAGAGCAACUGCUUGGCAUUUUCUUAUUAACUCCUCUGUAUCCAUUUUCCACAAUAUGCUUAUUCCCUGAAUUUAAGAGCUAUCGCCCACUUCUCUGCCACUAAAAUUAAAGACUGAAAAAACUAAAAAAAAUCUUUCCCAAGGCUUUUGGAUUGAAACCCUGUAAAAGAUUUCUCAAAAGAAAGGAAAAGAAAAAGAAAAAGGAAGAAGAAACACCUAACCUGUAGGUGAUUGAAACAAGCCAUAAAGGUUGUAAUCUACUUCUAUUCUGAUACUUUUUUCAGAGAAAAAAACAUUGUAAAAGGAAGAGUGGUUAGAUUACGGAUUUCGAGUAAAAUAAUGUUUAUUUAAUUAAGUAGUUAACCACUUAACUUCAAUUUCUUUCAAAUUCAGUUACAAAGUCUCUUUUGGAGAAUUUAUUAGGUCGUUGAUUUUUAAUAUAAUUAAAAUUAUACUAUUUACAUAAUAAUGGAGGUAAUGUCUGUGGGAAAAGAGAUUUUUACUGUGAUUAACACAAAUUUACAUAAUAAAAAACAAAAUAAUGUUUAUUUAAUUAAGUAGUUAACCACUUAACUUUAAUUUCUUUCAAAUUCAAUUACAUUCUCUUUUUGGAGAAUUUAUUGGGUUGUUGAUUUUCAAUAUAAUUAAAAUUGUACUAUUCUCUCUCAGCACUCAUAAAUAAAUAUGUUAAGAUUUUUGUUAUAGACAUCACCAAAAUUAUAUUCCAUCAUCAAAAUCACCUUAAAUGAAUCUAUUAAAUUGAGAAGAAAGCUCGUAUUUGGUAACUAAAUUUCUCUUAUUCUUUAUUCAUUUAAGGUUUUUUUUUUUUUUACAAAUUCUAUUAACUCUAGAUUUACACUCAAUCUCGUUUCUUUACUUGGAAAUACUUGGUAAUCGAAACCCUAGAUUUGAACUCAAUCUCAUUUCUUUAUGAUUUAUUGAUUCGAAACCCUAGUUGAUUGAGUUGAUUUAGUUGUUUAUUUGGCUUGAUUUAAUUGAUUUUGACUAAUUUCUAGCAUGUCUAAUUGAUUGAGUAGUUGAUUGAGCAUGUCUCUGGUCUAUCUUGAUAGAUUCUUAGAUUAAAGUACCAUGAUUCUAGUGAGUUGUUAUUUGGCUUUGGUGUGUUAUUUAAGCUUUAAAGUGUAAUGUUUUAAGUUAAUGAAUUGAGUGAAGUUCUCUUGACAAUUCACGUGGCUUUUAUUUCCAUUUGUAAACUUUGUUUUUUUUUUCUUAUUCAAGUAACAACAUAUGGUAUCAGAGCUUUCUUCUUAAGGGAUCUGUGUUUGAAUUUGUCAAGUCAUGGAAGCCGAAGCCAGUUUCUCCGCAAUUGCUCCGACGUUGUUUGACGGAAACAACUACCAGCUUUGGGCAGUACGUAUGGAGACAUACUUGGAAGCUUUAGAUCUUUGGGAAGCAGUGGAAGAAGACUAUGAAAUUCUUGCACUUCCAAACAAUCCCACCAUGGCACAGAUAAAAGCGCAUAAAGAAAAGAAGACAAAGAAAUCAAGGGCAAAGGCCUGUUUGUUUGCUGCAGUCUCAUCCACCAUAUUCACUCGCAUCAUGUCUUUGAAGUCAGCAAAAGCGAUAUGGGAUUAUCUCAAGAGCGAAUAUGAAGGAGAUGAAAGAAUUAAAGGUAUGCAAGUCCUGAAUUUGAUCAGGUAGUUUGAACUUCAAAGAAUGAAGGACUCCGAGACGAUCAAAGAUUACUGCGACAGACUUCUUAGUAUUGCAAACAAGGUGAGGCUUCUUGGAUCUGAAUUUACUGACUCAAGAAUUGUACAAAAAAUUCUUGUUACAGUACCUGAAAGAUAUGAAGCAACUAUCACUACCUUUGAAAAUACCAAGGAUUUCUCAAAGAUUUCCUUGGCAGAAUUGCUUAACGCAUUACAAGUACCAGAACAAAAAAGACUGAUGAGGGGGGAUACAACAACCGAAGGAGCUUUAGCAGCCAAACAUCAGAACAUGGCCAAAAACAAAACAAAGAAGAAGGACUUUGAAGGAAAUGGGGCAAGUACAACAUCUGCGAAUGCAAAAGAAAAGAAUGAAAAUCAGAAGAAAUCCUAUCCACCUUGCAAACAUUGCAGAAAGAAGGGUCAUCCUCCGUUUAAAUGCUGGAGAAGACCUGAUGCUAAGUGCACUAAAUGUAAUCAGAUGGGGCAUGAAGCAGUUAUCUGUAAAAAUGAAAAUCAACAUGGUGAAGAGGCAAAGACAGCUGGUCAAGAGGAAGAGGAUCACUUGUUCGACGCUACAUGUUUCUCUGGCAUCGAAUCAAGUGAGAGUUGGCUUAUUGAUAGUGGUUGUACUAACCACAUGACACAUAACAAAGAUCUAUUCAGGGAACUAAGCAACGCAAACUCGUCAAAGGUUCGAGUUGGAAAUGGCACGUACAUAGCUGUGAAAGGAAAAGGAACAGUUGCAAUCACAACCUUUUCAGGUACAAAGUUCAUUUCUGAUGUGUUGUAUGUCCCUGAAAUUGAUCAAAACUUGUUAAGUGUUGCACAACUAAUUAAAAAUGGUAAUAAAGUUGUGUUCGAAGACAAAGUUUGCUUGAUUAAAGAUGCAGAUGGAAAAGAUAUUUUCAGAGUAAAAAUGAAAGGGAAAAGCUUUGUUCUAAAUCCAUUGGAGGAGGAGCAAAAUGCUUUCCCGAUCAAAGAAAAUAUCACUGAGUUAUGGCACAAGAGGCUCGGGCAUUAUCAUCAUCAAGGGCUGCUGCAGAUGAAAUCCAAGGGGAUGGCAAAUGAUCUUCCAGAACUUGAUGACUAUAUUCAAAAUUGCAAAGCAUGUCAGUUUGGAAAGCAAAGCAGGAGACCAUUUCCCAAGGCAACAUGGAGAGCAACAAAGAAGCUGCAAUUAGUUCAUACUGAUAUUGCAGGCCCACAAAGAACGCCUUCUUUGAAUGGUAGUCUUUAUUAUGUUGUAUUCAUUGAUGAUUUCACCCGUAUGUGUUGGAUCUUUUUUUUGAAGCACAAGUCAGAGGUGGCUCAAGUUUUCUGGAACUUUAAAGUCAGAGUUGAGAACUUGAGUGGCUGUAGAAUUCAGACUCUUAGAUCAGACAAUGGCAAGGAGUANNNNNNNNNNNNNNNNNNNNNNNNNNNNNNNNNNNNNNNNNNNNNNNNNNNNNNNNNNNNNNNNNNNNNNNNNNNNNNNNNNNNNNNNNNNNNNNNNNNNNNNNNNNNNNNNNNNNNNNNNNNNNNNNNNNNNNNNNNNNNNNNNNNNNNNNNNNNNNNNNNNNNNNNNNNNNNNNNNNNNNNNNNNNNNNNNNNNNNNNNNNNNNNNNNNNNNNNNNNNNNNNNNNNNNNNNNNNNNNNNNNNNNNNNNNNNNNNNNNNNNNNNNNNNNNNNNNNNNNNNNNNNNNNNNNNNNNNNNNNNNNNNNNNNNNNNNNNNNNNNNNNNNNNNNNNNNNNNNNNNNNNNNNNNNNNNNNNNNNNNNNNNNNNNNNNNNNNNNNNNNNNNNNNNNNNNNNNNNNNNNNNNNNNNNNNNNNNNNNNNNNNNNNNNNNNNNNNNNNNNNNNNNNNNNNNNNNNNNNNNNNNNNNNNNNNNNNNNNNNNNNNNNNNNNNNNNNNNNNNNNNNNNNNNNNNNNNNNNNNNNNNNNNNNNNNNNNNNNNNNNNNNNNNNNNNNNNNNNNNNNNNNNNNNNNNNNNNNNNNNNNNNNNNNNNNNNNNNNNNNNNNNNNNNNNNNNNNNNNNNNNNNNNNNNNNNNNNNNNNNNNNNNNNNNNNNNNNNNNNNNNNNNNNNNNNNNNNNNNNNNNNNNNNNNNNNNNNNNNNNNNAGUAAAAAUGAAAGGGAAAAGCUUUGUUCUAAAUCCAUUGGAGGAGGAGCAAAAUGCUUUCCCGAUCAAAGAAAAUAUCACUGAGUUAUGGCACAAGAGGCUCGGGCAUUAUCAUCAUCAAGGGCUGCUGCAGAUGAAAUCCAAGGGGAUGGCAAAUGACCUUCCUGAACUUGAUGACUAUAUUCCAAAUUGCAAAGCAUGUCAAUUUGGAAAGCAAAGCAGGAGACCAUUUCCCAAGGCAACAUGGAGAGCAACAAAGAAGCUGCAAUUAGUUCAUACUGAUAUUGCAGGCCCACAAAGAACGCCUUCUUUGAAUGGUAGUCUUUAUUAUGUUGUAUUCAUUGAUGAUUUCACCCGUAUGUGUUGGAUCUUUUUUUUGAAGCACAAGUCAGAGGUGGCUCAAGUUUUCUGGAACUUUAAAGCUAGAGUUGAGAACGAGAGUGGCUGUAGAAUUCAGACUCUUAGAUCAGACAAUGGCAAGGAGUAUACCUCUGGAGCAUUCAAUCGCUUUUGCGAGGAGGCUGGCAUCCAACAUCAAUUAACCACUCCAUACACUCCACAACAAAAUGGAGUGAGUGAGAGACGGAACAGAUUUAUAUUGGAGAUGACACGAUGUAUGCUACAUGAGAAGAACUUGCCAAAGCAAAUUUGGGCUGAAGCUGCAAGCACUGCUGUUUUUUUGCAAAACAGACUUCCCACAAGAGCAGUGAGAGAUAAAACACCCUUUGAGGCUUGGUAUGGCUAUAAACCAUCUCUGAAAUUCCUUAGAAUAUUUGGAUGUCUGUGCUUCACUCAUGUUCCGCAGAUUAGUAGAGACAAACUAGAUAAAAGAGCACUUCCAGGCAUCUUUAUUGGCUACAGCUCCGUUGCAAAAGCUUAUAAAGUUUUCCAGCCACAAACUGGAAAAAUUAUUAUAAGCAGGGAUGUGCACUUUAUGGAAGAUGAAGAGUGGAAUUGGGAUGAUGCAAAGAAGAUGGAUUCAACCUCAAAAAAGCCAAAACUCAAGUUUCCUGUUGUGGACACAGCAGAUCAAAGCAUUGAAGAUUGGGAAAUGAAACGGUGGAUGACAGACCUAUUAGGGGCACAAGACCACUUUCAGAUGUUUACCAAAGAUGCAAUGUUGCUGUGAGUGAACCUACAAAUUAUGAAGAAGCCAAGACGGAUCAGAAUUGGGUUACGGCAAUGAAUGAGGAGUUGUUCAUGAUUGAAAAGAAUAAAACAUGGGAGUUGAUUGAUCGACCCCAAAACAUGAAGGUAAUUGGAGUCAAGUGGGUGUACAAAACCAAGCUUAAUGCUGAUGGCUCAAUCAACAAAUAUAAAGCUAGGCUCGUGGUCAAAGGAUUUGCUCAAGUACCUAGCGUGGAUUACUCAGAUACCUUCGCACCAGUCGCUAGACUCGACAUCAUCAGGCUGUUACUAGCUGUUGCAGCACAAAAAAAUUGGAGGGUGUACCAGUUAGAUGUCAAGUCAACGUUCUUGAAUGGUUUCCUGCAAGAGGAGAUUUAUGUAGAGCAACCGGAAGGCUAUGUAAAGGAAGGAGAAGAAGACAAAGUGUAUCUUCUUAAAAAAGCUCUUUACGGCUUGAAGCAAGCUCCAAGAGCUUGGUACAGCAGGAUUGAUGAAUACUUGCGAAACUUGGGAUUUGUUAGAAGCUUAUCUGAAUCAACAUUAUAUGUCAAGCACAUUGGUGCUGACAUUCUUAUCAUCUCAUUAGAUGUGGAUGAUCUGCUCGUGACAGGAAAUAAAAAGUGUGUUGUGGAGGAGUUUAAGCAAGAAAUGAUGGAGAUUUUUGAGAUGACAGAUCUCGGAUUAAUGGCGUUCUUUCUUGGAAUGGAAAUUAAACAAAAUGAAAAUGAAGUCUUCAUCUGUCAGAAGAAAUAUGCCAGGGAAAUUCUGAAAAAGUUUAAACUUGAAGAAUGCAAAGAAAUGAGCACUCCAAUGAACUCAAAGGAGAAGCUCUGUAAAGAAGAUGGAACAGAGAAGGUUGAUCAGGCAUAUUUCAGAAGCUUAAUUGGUUGCUUGAUGUAUCUCACAGCAACUCGACCUGACAUUUUGAAUGCUGUAAGCAUUUUGUCUCGGUUUAUGCACUGUGCUAGUGAAUGGCAUCUCAAAGCUGCAAAGAGGGUGCUUAGAUAUGUGAAGGGCACAUGUAAUUUUGGCAUUAAAUUUACAAGGAGCAAAGAGUUCAAAUUGUUUGGUUACUCAGAUAACGAUUAGGGAGGUUCCAUUGAUGAUAUGAAAAGCACUUCAGGCUACUGUUUCACACUUGGUUCUGGUGUUUUCUCUUGGAGCUCGAAAAAACAAGAAAUCGUAGCUCAAUCCACUGCUGAAGCAAAAUUUGUUGCUGCAACGGCUGCUGUCAAUCAAGCUUUAUGGCUGAGGAAGAUUUUAAUUGAUCUUAACUUGGAGCAUGAGGAAAGUACAGAGAUUCUAGUUGACAACCAAGCUGCUAUUGCAAUCUCUCAAAAUCCUGUGUUUCACGGGAAAACUAAGCACUUUAAUAUUAAAUUAUUCUUCUUAAGAGAAGUGCACAAAAAUGGAGUUGUUAGUCUUGUCUACUGCAAAACAGAAGAUCAGGUUGCAGAUGUUUUCACCAAGCCACUGCUGGUUAGCAAGUUUGAGUUUUUCAGAACAAAACUUGGUGUUUGCAGCUCCUAAAGCAAGGAGGAGUGUUAGAAGAUGUGUUUAGGACUGCUGAUGUGGAGUCAUAGAAGUUGCUUCUGUUGAAUGUUUCAAACUUUUCUUAUUUUUCUGGUGUUGGUUAUUUAUUUUGUUGAUUCUUGCUGUGAUCGUGGCACAAUCUUUGGACCAUGAUUCUAGUGGGUUGUUAUUUGGCUUUGGUGUGUUAUUUAAGCUUUAAAGUGUAAUGUUUUCAGUUAACGAAUUGAGUGAAGUUCUCUUGACAAUUCACAUGGCUUUCAUUUCCAUUUGUAAACUUUGUUUUCUUUUCUUAUUCAAGUAACAACAAAGUGGAUAUUACAGUUAGAAAAUUAACUUUAAAAAUAGAAAGAAAAUUGAAUUGAAUUUUGUUGGUACAUUGCCAGAGUUUAGAUUGACAUCUCCACUUUGGUUUGAAUUAAUGUGAGCUACGAAAUUAGAAUUAAUCAGAGCCAAUCUUGAUUUUAUUCAAGUGCCAGUUUGGUCUCAGCUGGUAACGUUGAAGUUAUAUAUAGCGGUGACUUGGACACUUCCAUUUAUGGAAGUGGUUUUCCUCGUGUAUGUGACCAUAAACCAGAAUCCGUGGAUGCUAAUGUAUGGAAUGAAUAUUGUAAUAGCCCAUGGAAUCUAGAUAACCUAAUAGGGUUGGAAGGUUCAAUACUUUGAAUGGUUCAUCAUAACAUUACUAGGGUUCUAGUGCCUUGGCUUUAUCCUGGCAUGUUGCUCUCACCUUCUUGAUGGCAUUUUAAAGAUCACUGUUUUCACUGAAUGAAUUAUUAUCACUAGUAUGCAUCCAUGCUGAUUUAUCCCUGGUGUUUUUUUUUUGGUAGUGUUCUCUUCGAGCAAACACAUUAUUGGUCCCUUUUAUUUUCCCUUCCAGUUUUUCAUCUUAUGAACUCCUUAUUAAUUUUUUAAAUGAAUUAAUGCAUUGAAAUGAUUACUUUAGCAGACUCUACCACCACCGACUUGUAAAGAAAGUUGAUACUCGGUAGAUCGAGAUGAGUUGUCCUUUUAAUACUUAUUGGUAUUGGGAGUUCUAUUUCUCUUUAGAAGGAGAAAAUAUAGAAUAUAUCAGAGGUAUCAUGUCAGCCAUACAAUAAAUAAAUAAUAUUAUAAUAUUUGUGUGUUUAUUUUAAAAAAAAUCAUCGUGCAAGUAGUAAUUACAUUAAAUUCAAUUACACGUGUUAUACAUGCAUUAAUUGGUUGUAAUACAUCAGAUGUAUUCUAUAAUUUCUCAUUUACAAGGCGCUUCAAUUGCUCAUUAAUCAUCGUGGUUUUUUUAUUUUGUUUUUUUUUUAAUUUCAUUUAAACAUCCAAAACUGAAUAAGUAGAAUGGAUUUUCGAUUUCUCAUUUUCUCAUACUUCUGGUGGCUCAGCGUGGUACAUACCUCUUUCAUGGUUUGCAAUGUACUGCUAGCUAAAAUUUUAAAUUGCUUUGGUAGAAAGUUGAUUAUCACUGCUUCUCUUAUGGCAGAGGGGGGAUUCCAAAAUGUUGGUACAGCGUCCCUAGAAGUGAAGCUGGUGCUUUUGAGAAGGUAGUUCUUCAUAUUAGAAUUAAUCUUUUCGGCUGCCUUUGCUUUUUUUCUUUUUUAUUAUUCAGGUUCUUUAUUCCUCCCUAAUUUGACAGAAGAGGAGUAUUCUAUGUGUUGGCUGAGCUUAUAUACUUCUAGUGAUUUGUGAUUAUUCUUUUUCUGUGAUGAUCUCAUGUUGACUUUUGGCUGCCUUCUAUCAUGCACAUGGGUUUCAUUUGCUUUCUUGUUUUUUCAUUUAAUAGACUGUGCAGUUUGAGUUGGUGCCUUUUGUGACCUUGUUGGCUCGAGGGCUUUGCCCAUUUUCUUGCUGUGUUUAAUGUAUUUUGUGGCAAAUGUGAACUUAUGAUUUGGGAAUUUAUAUCUUGAAUGAAUGUAAAUUUUAAAAAUACUAAAAAAAUUGUGAGGUGUUAGUGUGAAAAUUUUAUAUCAUUGAGAUUGUUGUGCUGAGGAGUUGUUGCUUUUUGCAGGCAUUGCUGAUCACUUUUUGUAUUUCUAGAUUUGAGCUUCUGGGUUCAUCUAGUUGCUGGACAUAAUUCUAGGUGUUGAUGUCAUUGAUCGAUUGCUAGGUGGACUGUGAUUCAAGGAACAUAAUUUAAUGGACAUGAUUUGCUUUAUUAAUUUCUAUUUUUUUUCAGUUUCUGGAUUGAUAAGUUAAGUAGUUAUUAUUUAGCUGCUGAUACUGUAUGAUAAGAUGUAUACUUAUCAUGACAUGAUAGGAUAUUUGGAUCCUAAUGUUUAUUGUCAAUUACAGAUGUGUUAGUGUUACAAUUGUUAUUGCCGAAUUUCAGUUCUUUUGAGCACAUAUAUAUAUAGCCAAAAUUAAUCAUAACGAAAUUGGCGCCAAAUUUUUUUAAAUUCCAGCCAAAUUAAAUAAUAAUAUCAAUAAUUGCCACCAAAAAAUUAAAAUUAAUUUCAAUUCCUGCCAAAUUUUUUUAAAAAUAAAAAAUUCAAUUGCGAACAUAUAAUUUAAAUAGCCCGCCAAACUAAAUAUUUGUUAUAUAAAUAAUUCAAUAUCUAUUUAAAUAUUAAUUUUUAAUUUUAUAUGACAGAUGGUAGUCAUGCGUGGACAAUAUUAUGAUCAAUUACUUAUCAUAUGUGCAUGAUAAGUUCAUGAUAGUUAAUACAAUAUAAAAUUUAUGACACGCAGAAAUCGUUAUUUCAAAAUUUCUUGACACAAGUUUCAAUGAUGAUUCGGCAACGGUCAUCUAAUAAGGUGCAUGAUGGUCAAAAGCCGUCAUUAUUAAGUUUUUUUUUUUUUGGUAGUGCACACACAAUAUAUUUAAGUUUACUUUAUUAAGUUUAUCAAUGAAAAAACCACAAAAAAAAAAACCAAUGCAUGAAAGAAGUUUAAUAAAGACAAUUUCUUUUCAAAACAAUUGCUAUUGUUUAUGAAAAAUUAAUUAGAAAAACUUAGUGUAAAAUUGUAUUUUUCUUAAUACAAAAAGAGUGAACAAAAUAAAGUAUAUGCGACAAACUGAAAAUAAUAACAAAAAUAACAUAUGUCAAAAUGUUAAUUAGUUAGAGGCUUUUGCUAGCACUACUUAAAAUCUCGCUCUCCGUCACACUUAAGGGUGCGUUUGGUAUCGUUUUUUAAAUGGUGUUUUUGAAUUUCUUUUAUAGAAUAAGAAUGAUUACUUUUUGGUGAAAAUGAAAACAUGUUUGAUAGCUUGUUUUAAGAACAGUACUUAGAAAUAAAAAAAAGGUGAAAAAGUGUUUGGUUGUUUUUCUAGAAAAAUGAAGACAUGAAAAGAGGGUAGAGAAUUAUUUAAUGAAGUUUUUUUUUUCAUAAUUGCAUUAUUUAAUGAAACCUUUACGAAAGAAUAAUAUAAUACAAUGAAUAUAAAUAUAUAUUUUAUAUCAUUAAAUAAUUUAUCUAUUUAGUUAUUAUAUUAUGAAACUAUAAUAUAUCAUUAUGAAUGCAUAUAGGUACAUAGUUAUUUUAAUAAUUUCUUAAAAUUUUUUAAUUAUGCAAAUAAAUUUUAGUUUUAAGAUAAUAUCGAUUGAGAAAAUCUUUAAUUACUUUAUAAUUUCCUUAUUUUUAUUUUUAUUACUUGUGAAGAUGUAACUUUUUUAUUGAUAUAUUUUGUUAUCAUUUUUAAAUAACUGCAUAAAUAUUUUACGUACUAUUAUUAAGUGAGAUCAAUGAUUAUAUUGUAAGGUAUAGAAUAAAUUAUUGUUACAGUUGUUAAACAUUUGUUAUAAUAGUUUAUUUAUUAAAUUAUUUCUUUAUUUAUUGAUCCACGUAAUUUAUUAUACAAUGUUAUAAGAUCCAAAUAGUGGGGCCCUUAACAGGGAGCAAAAGUAAAACAAAAUGGGGAAUGUUGUCUUAUUUUCUUUGUAAGCAUUAGAAAAUGAAUUUUUUUUGUUUCCAAUCAUUGCAGAAUUUUCCACCAAAAUGAACCUACUAAACAAGUUUUCUACAUUUUCCACAAUAGAGUGAAACUGGUACCCAACCACCCUUACAUUUCCGCCCUAUUGUACUAUAAUGGGCCACGGUACAUGGAUCUAUAUCUUCACAUACACGAGCAGUUUUAGUGAUAUUAUUAAUAGAUCAUCACGAGCAUGGCUAUUACUUGUAUGUUAUAUAUGUUUAAUUUCCUCCAUAAUCUCAUAAUUAAAUUUAGCGUUUGGAAGGAGAUAUUCAAUAAGAUAAGAUUUUUUUUUUCUUUUUUUCUUUCUUUCUUUGAACUUUUUGUGCUAGGCUUUUAUUCAUUUCCUUUUUACUCUUAUUUUUAUAUGCUAGAGAUUCAUUGUUAUAAUAUGUUACAUGACUUGCACAAGAAAUAACAACCAACAGUUCACACAUUAAGCGUGUAAUGGAAUAUAACCAACAAUUCAUAUUAUUGUCGUUGUCGUUGCAUUUCAGAUUAUUCUUUAGUUAAUAUGUUUCUAAAAUAUUUAUCUUAUGAAUGUUAAACAAUAAUGAAAUCUAUCCGGUCAUAGUAAUAAAAUAUAUGAAUUUUCACCCACAUAAAAUAUAUUUAUGUGUAUUUUAUUGAGUUCAUAAAAAAUGAAAAAACACGUAAUGCCUGAAAGAAUUUUAAUAAAGACAAUUUCUUUUCAAAACAAUUACUAUUGUUAUGAAAAAUUAAUUGGGAAAACUUAGUAUAAAAUUUUAUUCUUCUAAAUACAAUAACAGUGAACAAACCAAAUUACACGUGACAAACUAAAGAUGAUAACACAAAUAACAUUCGUCAACGUGUUAAAGUUGCCGGAGGCUUCCGCUAGUACCACCUAAAAUCUCGCUCUUUGCUGCACUUACAUUUUGGCAAAGACAUGUUUUUUUUUUAAAAAAAAAAAACAAUUUUAUUGGUUUGAAAAAUUAAUUGAGAAAAUUUAAUAUAAAAUUUUAUUUAUCUUAAUACUAUACACAAUCUCUUUUUUAUUUUCGAUAUUUGACGAAUCUAAACAGAAAUUGAUCCCUAAGAUGGUAUCCAAUAAGUUAAUCCCUCUAUGUACCUAAUCGGUUUUAUGCUGCGGCGAGCACAGUGAAUUCUAACCCACUCAUGAGCAACAAGGGAAAAAAAAAAUGGAUGUAUUAUCCAUUUUGUACGGCUUGUACGGCUAAUAGUAAUAUUAUAUACACAUGUUUAUAUGUGGGUGUAGCGAUUUGCAUUGUUACAGUUCUUUACUAGUAAGAUUCUAUCAAACAUAGACAUCCAAGAAGAGGGGAAUUGACAGGAGGAGAUUAGGCUGGGCCUCGAGGAUUUGAUAUUUGAUCAUGCUUUGAAAAACUAUGCUGAGAAAGCCAGCUCCUGAAAAACCAUCCCUCUGUGCUCAAAAUUUCUGAAUUCAUCAAAGCUCGCACAACCUGGACUCAGAACAAUAGCAUCGCCUGCAAAGGACGAUAAAAUUCAUAUUAGCAGGCAUCAGCAAACUCGGCUGACAAUCUGAUUUGCAGUUGUAUCCACCAGUAUCAGAAGCAACAAACCAUUUGUUGCCAUCCUCCUUGCAUGGUUAACGGCAUCCUUCAUAUUUGCGACCGCAAAGCAGGGAAUGCUAAGACCAUUAUUUACCAAUGUCUUCCAAAUCAGCACUCCUGAAUAUCCAAACUUGGGGAAAUUCAUUAUAGAUAUAUUAGUCUUUUUUCAUGUAAUUAGUGAUGGUCCACACAAAAAGAAAAAGGAAAAAGGCAGUGAGAACUCUUUCUUGGGAAAUUGAAUCACAAUUUUGAGAAAUAACAGAGCACAUACAGUGAUUACACAUCUAUGAUGAUUCAGCGGUUCAAUCAAUUUUUCAAAACCAUUCGAUUCCUGCCCAUUUAAAACCUACAAAAUAUGAAAUUGAUCAACUAGAAGCAAUCCAAUACUUAUCAUGGUCUUUAUCAGAAGCCUUUUAGAAACACAUGGAAUAGGAAUCAAAUCUGAAGCAACAAAGGAUAAGUCACACCAAAGCUAAACAAUUGGCAAGCUAAAUCACACAGACUCAGUGGUCUCAUGGACUUUCACAAUGCAUGCUUCUUUCUUUUGAUAGCUAAAAUCAGAGAAAAUAGGACUGGACGUGCUACAGGAUUUGCACAAAAAGUAAAUUCACAGUAUAGUGCCUCCUAAACUAAGAUUAUCUCAGUGUAAUCAGCAGGCAUCCGGCGUGCAACACUUUAACUAAAAACAAUAAACAAUACUUUCAUAAACCAAAUUGUAGAUAUCUUUCAAUUGUGAGACACAAAUUGCAUUGACAUUAACAUAUACAGCAUCACUCCUGUCCAACAUUAUAGUCAAGGAUGUGACAGUUAGACCAUCAUUUAACUUCUCCAAAUGUAGUUUUACAAUUUUUUUAUGAUAGUGCCUUUAUUAUUUUGUUGCAAGUGCAAACCAAAGGUAACCAAGCCAUCAUGAAAAUGAAAAGGAUCGAGAAAUCAGGAUUGUAAUCUAACCUUUGCUUGGCCACCAAGUAGAAUGACACACUUGUGUCCCUUCAGAUCCAUUAGUCCUGUACAUGUCGCUUCAAGAUUUGUUGCCUUGCUGUCAUCCACCCACGUCACCCCUUGGAUAUCCCUGUGCACUGCAUAACAAUGCUUAGCUAGUCAAAAGUCAAGAUAAUAUCUACAGUUAGAAAAUGUGGAAAUAUGUGUUAAGAAAACAAUAGGUCUGCUCAGUUUCAAUAAUCAGCCAGAUAAAUCAAGCUCACAAAAUAAAUGGUAGAAAUCUUCAUCUGUUGCAAGGAUAUUACUUACUGUUUAUCAGAACAUGUAAAUGAUUCAAGUUGUGAAGUGCUUAAUAGAUUCUUAUGCUCUCUUUGUCAAGGUUAAAAAUUUCAAAAAUAUCAUCUCAAUAACCUCUACUGAAAACAUCAGAACAAAAUCUACUUGUCUGAACGUUUAUACAAUAGUAUUAGUUGCUUAAAGAGCCCCAUCAGCACUUAGUAUUCCAUGGAUCAUCAGCAUCCACUGUCUUUGGACUCUGAAGAGUGAAGAACCAAAUCAUUGGUAUCCACGGAAUGUUCCCGUUAGCAGUUACUCUAAUAACUUGAGGGAUACAAUAACCAUUUCCAACAAGGCAUCCUCUGAAACCAAAUUAUAUAAAAACAGAAGUUACUUGAUUUAUACAAUCAAGAAAUCAAGCCUGUUACUUGAUAACAAUUGUCCAUAACAGGUACUCCUUUUUGACAUAAGAAUACUAUUUGAAGCAAUGUCUUUUUUUUUUUUUUUUUGAUAACCCAAAAUCCCGCACCAACCCUAGGGGGUCAGUUGGGCGCCCCAUGACACAUGAGACAACGAAGGGUGGAAUUUUUAAACUCACCAGAAGGAUCAAACCCAGGACCUCGAUACAUCUAAAGCACCAGAUCCCAAGCCCUCAACCAGCUAGGCUGCACAUGAAUGGGAUACGAUCUUAAGUUUUUGAGAGGGAAUCUAUGUCAACUUACCAAUUUGCAUACGGUGAGGCGGUGUCCUUAAUAUUUCAAUUGUUGAAUUGAGUGCUUCCACAUCAACUCCAAUAUCCAGUCCAAGAACAGAUAAUGCAGCCACUGCAGCAUUAUGAUAAUUGUGUCUUCCCAUAACCUUCAUGUUAUGCAACUGUAGUUGAGAAACAACUCCAACGGCAGGAACUUCAAAGCUGGCUGUCUUUGCCUCCGUAUCAAUCUUUUUCAAAUAUAAAACUAAUAUCAAUACCAUAUGUGAUGUUCAAUGAAAAAAUAAGAAAGUAUGAAGGGCAUACAAAACCAAGUGCAACUUUAACUAGAUUAUAAACAUCAACGCAUAAAUUCAGAGGCGUUAUAAUUAAAAUCCCAAACAAAUGAUGCAGCACUUCUAUAAACUAUUGCUAAAUGUUUCUUCACCAAUUAUUUUGUGUCAACUGAUUCUUAGCCUCAUCUUGGAGACUUCCAAAAUUUUUUUCUCUAAAAUGCCAACAUGAAUAAAGGGGUGGGGUGGUAGCUAGCCUUAGUAGCCCCAGACUACUAGAGAUUAAUUGAUAUUCCUAAUCCCACCCCAUGCAUAUCCUAACCGGAUCCAACAUGAAUUCAUCCCCUGAUAUAGUGGAAACAGCUGUCCUAGACCAAGGGCACUAAUAGAGUAUUGGUACUAAAUGUUUUAACUUUUCUCAACAAACAUAUUGAAAAAUUGCUUCUUACUUUCACACCAGGAAAGGCCCCUAUCCAAGCGAGAUUAAACCGAUGUCCUUUAAUUGCUUCAUUUAAAUGCUGGUUUCCUAGUAGAAAAUAUAGGAUAAGACGUUAAAAAGACAUAACAACCUCAAGCUGUAACAACCAAGCCCUAACUAGAAUAAACUACAAAAUAUGAGGGGGAAAAUUAGUGAGACCUGUUCACAAAGUUCGAAUCACUUUUCUUACAUAAGGCUUCAAUUCAUGUUAUAGAUUGCACCAUUAUUCGGAAAUUUAUUUUUCUGCAAAAGCAGAUAAGGUUCAUGCUUUCCGUGGACCUUAUAGAACUUAGAAAGCACAUAAAAAGUAACUAAGUAGAUUUUGAACAACUUCUGAGCCACAAUAGCAUAAGUUAAUCACUCCAUCAUAGUGUUAACCUGACAUUCCAACCUGACAUUUCAAGCCUCUAAUAGAGGUCUGCAAUGAAACCCCCCAGAUAUAACCAAGCAUAAACUCGUCGACCAUUUUUAAAUGCAUUCAUAAUGCUUAAUUAAAAUAGCCAUUUCGACCUUUUUUUUUCCUAAUUCUUUUAGCAUUUUUUAAUAAGCAUCCGUCAGUUACAUAAGUUGUCAUUCAAGUGAUCUCUUUAAGGAUCCUGUGUGUUUCUUCUGGAUUAGAGAAUACGGACUUACAUAGCUCUGUCAAUUCAAAGUUUAUCAGCAUCUGAAAGUAUAUUAUCUGAUUACACUUGUGACAGAUUACCACACCAAAGCUCUUUUAUUGAAAUUCUCAAUUAUUUUCAACAAUCAUGAAGGAAGUCAACUGCGACAAUGAUAUCUUAAACAAAACACAUGGGUCAUUGCAACAGAUAUCAAUUAUUAUGUGAAGCUCAAUCAUUUAGAAGAAAAAUAUCCAACUUACCGAAAGGAAGAAGUCCCAGCUUGGUGUUCACCAUGUGGGAAAAUAAGUGGCACUUAGUGAGCGCAUAAUUCUUCAUUGUCUUGUGCCGCUCCAAAUGAUCGGGGGUAAGGUUCAAUACCACUGAAACCUGCAAAGAUUCCAACGAGGUUACCAGAUAGAGAUUGCCUACAUAUACGCACUGACAGUUUUAGAUCGAGCUGUUCAUGCCGACCUACCGUAGGGCAGAAGUAUUUGUUGGGAAUUUCCAUUUGAUAACUACUAACUUCCACUACUGCAACCUGAAAAACACUUUGACAUGAGUUUGCUUAUUUGUUGAAAGGACAAAGGGAAUAGAUAUGUUGAAUGGAAAGUGAUCAUCAACCAGAAAAUACUACUCGCCUGAAACUUUGGUUUUGAAGAAGGCAAUGCAAUGCAAUGGAAAGCAGCCUCUGAUAGAGGAUUUCCCAGGUUCCCUCCCACAAACGCCUCAAUUCCAAGAUGAUUGAGCAUCUGUAUCCAAAUAAUUUGAGAAACAAAAUUAUUAGAAAUAAUGCUGCCAAAGUAAUUUGAAAACAUGUAGAGUAUGGAAGUAUACUGAAGUGAUCCUUGUAAUUAUCACUAUUAGUAAAAAUACAAGACAUAUAAACGGUAGCAUUUUUUUAUAACAUAAAAAUGGAGAGACCUGCCCAACAAAGGUGACAACAGUUGAUUUUCCAUUAGUUCCAGUAACUGCUAAGAUCUUAAUGCUUCUUGGAAUGACUUGAGCUGCAAAAUCCAACUCAGACAUCACCCGUUUCCCCUGAAUUUUCAUGACACAGAAAAAUUAAUAAAACCUUUUUUCAAUAAAGAAAUCAACAGAUGCAGGACAGGAAGCUUGCAACUAGUCCCUAAGGGGAGUCUGCAAGUUAACUGGCUGACGUCGACAAAUCCAAAAGCAACAGUCCAACUGCUCACUAUCCUAAAUUAUGUGCUUUUUGGAUGCAUCAAUCGUGAGUGUUCAUGAUUUAAUUAUACUAUUCUUCCCAAGUUAAAUCUCACUUUUUAUCCUAAGUUAUAUGGCAACAGAUUUGGCACUUUCUAUAUUCAACGUAAUAAACCAAUAAAGACGUUGCCCUGCCUCUUGCAUUUCUCAGGAGAAACAAAGCCUUAUAAAGUAAAUAGAUAUACUUACAGACUGCAACAAACAAGCAAGACCGUAGCUUUCAACUGAAACUCCAGGAGAAACAACCACAACAUCCACAUCCUUUAGUAGCUCUCCAUCAAAGUCACCAAGAAUUGUUCUUAAACUUAAACCAUCAUUGUACUUCUCAAAAAGCGAAUCUUUCUGCAAUGGAAUGGAACCCACUAAGCGUUUAAGCUAUUUGAUUAAAUAUUACAAUAUCACUAACUGACUAACAAGUACCGAGAAAAUAGGAAGAGUGUAAAUGCCCAUUACCUCUAGAUGGCCCAGAUUCUGAUUCUGGUCAAUGGCAAGAACUGAAGCACCUCUUGCAAGAGCAAGCCUUGCCGCGGCUCUGCCGGAUUUCCCCAAACCAAUUACAGCAACCGAUUGGCCUUGAAGGUCCUGUUUGAGACCGCAAGAUUUGAUGGUUCUGGGUUUCGUAUUCUUGGCUGAGUGAAUUGGUUUCAGAGUUACAGUUUCGUGUUUAUAAUAGUUACAAGCAUGCAGCUUCAUGCUGUGUGCAUUUGUAAGUUAAUGCACUGCAAAGCUAGACAAGUUUUCUAAUUUCUAAUGCAUCCGUUUGUGUGUGGGAAUUGUGAAGACGAAGCUCGAUGACCUUGGACCCUGACCAUAAUCGUGGGCCUUAUGGGCUUCGCAUCACAUGGGCCAUUAGCGCUUUCCAGUUACAGCAAAGAAAAAAGUUAUUUUACGAAAAUGACCUAAAGAUAGGAUCAUACAAAAAUGGCCUAACUUAAAAUUUACCUGCUUUUGUAGUCAAAGAGGCAACGAAUGGCAUUUUGGACAAUAAAAUAACCCUUAAGUAUGCUGAUCAGGUAGACGUGAUUUUUUUUUUUUAAAUAUUAAUUAUAUAUCAGACUACUGAUAUUACAUCAAAUAUUUAUACAACGCUACUAUAUGUGCUGAACUUAAUCUCGAAUUUACUAAAACGCUGCGUUUUAAAACAGUCGCUUUUCCUUUUUAAUUGCAGUUGCGCAGCACGUGUGCGUGAGUUUUAAAACGAUCACUUAAACCGAACGACGUCGCUUCUUCAAUUCAUUGCAGCUGUGUAGUGCCGGCUCUACAAAACGGCAACUGGUUCGUGAAAGUGUUGAACCUCUGCAUUACAAAACCCGUAAGUAUUUAUUGUUCUUAUAUUAAUUUGUUAAAUUGUUUCAUUUUAAUUUAUGAAUCUUGAUCUAGCAAACCGUGAGCAUUUGAAUGUCAAUUCCAGCAGCAGCAACACUAAUAGCAGCAACAAUUCCAGCAGCAAGACUUCUUGUUGUAUUCCAGCCAGUAAACAAUUUCACACACACACAUAUCAGCAGCAACAAGUGCCCAAAAUAAUAAAAAAACAAUUAGGAGUUCACACAUACAAAUACAAAAAAAAAAAAUUGCAGCAACAAUUCGAGCACCAACUCCAGCACCAGUAACACUUCCAGCAAAAAAAAUUCCAGCAGCAACAACUCCAGCAUCAAUUCCAGCACCAAUAACGCUUCCAGCAAAAAAAAUUCCAACAACAACAACCUGGCCAAGGGGAGCCGUGUGGCGCUUUGUGAGUGGAUGAGGAGGGAGAGAAGUUGACCCGGUUUGACCCGCAAACCCGACCUGACCCGCAAAUGUGACCCGGUUGGAUUUCACGAUCCCGGCCACUCUACCGGCCGAUCAAGGUAUUGAUCUGAAGCUUGGAAGUCGGCCGUCGUUUCCUUGCCAUCCUUGUCGCCGAAAACCAACAGGAACGCCGGCAAUUUAGCUCGAAAGAACCGCGGCUCCAACCACCUCCAUCGUCGUCGAUUUCAUCGGAGUUUGGACGCACCACCACGUGAGUUCUACUCCCUCGAUCGCGUGAUGGCGGUGGUCCGUCGUCUGUGGGCUUGUCCGUCGUCUGUGCUGGCUGUUCGCAUGACCGUUGGGUGAUU
This 83621-nucleotide long non-coding RNA is filed under the name Citrus sinensis (sweet orange). Its description in RNAcentral is "long non-coding RNA (CSIN_LNC003940)". Lineage: Eukaryota; Viridiplantae; Streptophyta; Magnoliopsida; Sapindales; Rutaceae. The record is from RNAcentral.